CGCAAUCCGACGACGACGCCGCCGCCGCCGCCCACGACGCCCGCGUCGUCGAGGACAUCGACCGCAUCCUCCGCGAGAUCCGCUCCGACGAAGACGACGACGACGAGGGGCGCUUCCCCCCUCCCCUCACCAACUCCACCUCCACCUCCACCUCCGCCUCCCUCGCGAACUCCACUUCCGGCGCCAUUGCCAGCAACUACACCCUCGGCCCGAAGAUCUCGGACUGGGACGCCCAGCGCCGGCUCUGGCUCCGCCGGAACCCUGGCUUCCCCUCCCGAACCCCCGCCGGGAACCCUCGGAUCCUCCUCGUCACCGGAUCCCCGCCCAACCCCUGCGACAACCCCCUGGGCGAUCACUACCUCCUCAAGGCGACUAAGAACAAGAUCGACUACUGCCGCCUCCACGGCAUCGAGAUCGUGUACAACAUGGCGCAUUUGGACCGGGAGCUCGCCGGGUACUGGGCCAAGCUCCCGCUGAUUCGCCGGCUCAUGCUGUCGCACCCGGAGGUGGAGUGGAUCUGGUGGAUGGACAGCGACGCGCUCUUCACCGACAUGGCCUUCGAGAUCCCGCUCUCGCGCUACGGCGCCCACAACCUCGUCAUCCACGGCUACACCGAUCUCCUCUUCGAUCAGCAUUCCUGGAUCGCGCUCAACACCGGGAGCUUCCUCCUCCGCAAUUGCCAGUGGUCGCUGGAUCUCCUCGACGCCUGGGCGCCGAUGGGACCCAAGGGGCCCGUCCGCGACGAGGCCGGGAGGAUCCUCACUGCCAAUUUGAAAGGCCGGCCGGCGUUUGAGGCCGACGACCAAUCGGCCCUCAUUUACCUGCUGCUCAUGCAGAAGGAGAAGUGGGUCGACAAGGUCUUCGUCGAGAAUUCGUACUAUCUCCAUGGCUUCUGGGCCGGCCUCGUGGAUAAGUAUGAAGAGAUGAUGGAGAAGCACCACCCGGGGCUCGGGGAUGAGCGGUGGCCCUUCGUGACCCACUUCGUCGGGUGCAAGCCCUGCGGUAGCUACGGCGAUUAUCCGGUGGAGAGGUGCCUCAAUAGCAUGGAGAGGGCGUUUAAUUUCGCCGACAAUCAGGUGCUUCGGCUCUACGGAUUCGCUCACAAGGGACUAUUGAGCCCUAAGAUCAAGCGGAUCAGGAACCAGACCACAAAGCCUUUGGUGGUGAAGGAGAACUUGAAUCUCGAAUCAAAAAUAUCCACUCGUUGAUUUCUGCUUUUGCCGGAGGUAAGAAAGGUUUAUGGGUAUCUGUUGUAAGAUGGGAAGGAAUUUAGGUAAAUUAAUUGAGGCUUUACGGUUCAAUGCAUUAGAUCUAUACCUCUGCUUCUUAAGGAUGGCAUUUACGCUUUGCAAGAUUUUCUCUUAGAUGUAAGGUUUUCUCUUUCAGAAGGGAAUCGAAGUAGAACGCGAAGGAUAUCUUCUCGUGUUGUCACUAAAUGGUGUACUAUAUGUAUGUUGAUUCUUUUGAUCACUCAGCAUGAAUUAAUGAAAGGAGAAUUUCAAACAUGUUAAAUUCUUGUCCAUUUAAAGAUAGAUAGUACUGACUUGUGACAGAGCUACGUUUUGUUGGUGAAAAUUCGUGAUUAAUAGAGAAAUUACUCCUUUGCAUUUAUACACUAUCAGCAUUUUAUUGUUGACUCUUCUGGUGCUCCAUUGCAAUUUUAGUAGGGUCUGUAAACUAAGCUGAGAAAUCUUAUCUAUUUGAAUUAUUCUCAUCAAAGGCCUUUUGAUGACUAGCCUAUUGCUGGGAUAUUUGAGAUUAAUUAACCGCACACUUCUACUUUUCUAUCUUGCAAUGGAAAAGUACAAUGUUGCUGAGCUCUGCAUAUCUAGCAUGCUAUACUCGGGAAGAAGAGUAGACUUGUUUGUACUACAUGCCUGGCUAGUUGUCACAUUAGUAUUUCUACAUCUAAGUCCCUCUCAUGUUGUUUAGACAUUAAAUCUGGAGACUAGUUGUUUCUACGCUCCUUUAUCUGCUCAGCUCUGGCUUGGUUUGUCUUAUGCUUAGAAAUUCAUGAUGAAAGAAUCGCAAGUCAAACUAUCAAUAGAUGCACUGUUGAAGCAGGACCAUCCGUCCAUUUUAUAAUGACAUUACUAAGGCUUCUUAAUUUUCAAAUCAUGUAAACAUGUUUUAAUAGUAUCCAAAGCCCGGCAAUAUAUUUCAUAUGUUGCCAAAUCUUCUCUGUGUACGACAAUAUAAGCAAAUUAAGAAAUGCUUAAUCAUAAUGGAGGGGUAGCUCCAUAUAGUUAGAGUUUUAGUUGCAAAUUAAAAACCAUUAGAACCUUGUUUCAGAUACGACUCGUGAUGUUUUUAGAUGAUCAUCAUUUUUGGCACUUAGGAUGAAUGACACAGCACUUAUGAUUUACUGCAUCAGUCUUUAUUCAUUUUCCCCUUCUUCCUCGACUUUACAUUCUGCUAGAGAUCCUUCUUUCCCAGGUAAAAAAGAGAAACUUCUCUGGGAAAAACAAUGAUAGCCCUUUUGACGUCAUCACUGAAGAGCAAUAGCCUCGCCAAAUCUACUUUCUGGCUUAUGCGUACACUGAAAAGUUCAACGAAAGAAAAAAAAAAAAAAAAUGGCAUUUUUCUGACUAGUUCUGAAGAUGCGCCCUUUUGGGGUUCCCUUUGUUCUUCUGGAAUUCCUUCUGCAUUUCUUUCUUCUUUCCCCCCCUCUACUUUGCCCCAUUGUAACUGCAACUUUGUCUCAAUUUAAUUGUAAGAUCAGUGAUGUCUUAUUUGAUGAGCAGUGUGGGACAUUCACUUAGUGAUCUUACAAUGUCUCUUCCCCUCUAUCUCUACCAAUCUGACCAGGCAAGAACACGAGAGGAGGAUUUGUGGUGUAUUCUAGUGUCUGAGGUAGAUUAAAUGCAGUCCAAAACUCUUCCACGCAGACCUCUCCUCUCUAUUUUAAGCUUUCCUGCGCAGCUAGAUAUUGUCUGGAUGAUCUUGGGAUGGUCUUCUUAUUUAUCAAUGGUUAACGAUUCUUUAAAUGAAAAAAUCAUGGUCCCAUGAUUCCCAUCAAGAGAAAAUAACCGAAAUUAGGCUUCACAUUUAUACAAUUAUACUUUGGAAAUAUCAGGUUAGUUGACUAGAUUAGUAGAAACUUCAUUUCUGGGUGUUCUCAUACUCUUUUUUGAUAUGGUGUACAAUAUAUACAUGUGUGAGAUUUAUUACUCUAUGCACCUUAUCAAUCUAUUAGUUCUCAGUUACAUUUUUGGAUAGUAAAAGAUUUAUUUAGUUUCAGAUUUACCUUCAAGUUUGGUUUUCCUUUGUAGAUACAGUUCGAGUUCCAAUUUAAUAAUUAAAAUAAGCCAUUAGCUAUAUUAUGUGAUUGUAGAUAAUCUCGUGCAUUUGAAACUGUGCUUGAAGUCUUUAGACUCCAGAAGCCUUUCUCUAAGUGCCAAUUUAAGGCUAGCUUCCUGGAAAAUCUCUCAAUUUUUUUGGCCCUCUUUGGAUGCUGGAUUGAGUUCUUAUAGCUAAGUAGUUUGACUUUUAAGAGGUGGUUGAGCCUUACUAUUUCCAGCUCUCUGGGGUAUUAGUUUCUCUCUCUCUCUCUCUCUCUCUCUCUCUCUCUCUCUCUGUGAAUUGAUUCUUAAUCACCGGUUGAACUUUCUUAUGCCCAUUAUCAACCAUCAUAUACAAUCUUGAUUCUUCAAGAUAUCAAAGUGUAAAAAAUAUAUUCAAAGUCAAGAUCAUAGUUACCAGUAUGGAUCUCUCUAAAAGAUCCUAGUAUUAGUCUUUCAGCAGGAAAUGUUAUUGUCCAAAUGCUUUUGAAAGUAUUCUACACUGUCUCCCUCCCUCAUUGUGUGUCUAACUAUCUGUAUACGCUGGCAAUCAAAUGUAUGUGCUCACACUUAACACAUGUAUGUUUUUAUGUGUUUGUUGUCUAACCACUUUUGAAAUUUUCUUGUCACCUCAGGUGCCAAACUUCCAUCAUCCAAUUCUGUGUUUCACCGAGUUUAUUACCCUGACCAAAAUAGAAUUGACGGAGGUAAUCCUUGUUUCUUGCAACACCUAUGCUUGAAUUUUUCUGGUGAUUUCUCUGUUCCCAACAUAUGCAGCAUGGUCACCCAUAAAGCUUCUUUCUAUACUUCAAUAACUUUGUUUGAGCAAAUGAAAACGUGAUGACUGUGUAUAGAGAAGUGAAUGGGGACAAAAUCUCGUGUUAUUUCAUUGUAUUAUCCUUUUUUAAUUUUGCCUUAAGAAUAUAGCAAACAUGUGGAUUCCUGUGUAUGAUUGCUUGUAUUAUGCAGAUGUCUUCAAUUUUCUUGUUCCUUCAUAAAUAAUUGUUUGUUUAGUAAUUUCUACAAAUUCUUUGUAUACACAAAUCAUUGGUAGUUAUUUGUUCACGUUUCAAUUUUUACUCAAAAAAAUUAUUAUGAUGUUGAUGAAAUUUCAAUUUCAAGUGGAGUAAACUAAGUCUUUCGUCGAGUAAAAUUAUUCUUCCCUGAUCUUCAUUUUUGGCGCACUUUUUCAUAUCUUGAAUACAACUAGGUGUGAUCAAACAAAAUGAUAAUGCGAAGUUUUGGAGGCUGUCCUAGUCUUGGUUUUUGUUUUCUAAUCUAAUGUUAUCAUUAUCUUCUGUAAACUAAUGUGAUAGACCAAUUGCUCCAAAGGGGUUAUGUGAGUAAUAAUCAUAAUCUUUUAAGUGAAAUUGGUGCAAAUCGUAUCCCAAGAGUGACAUCUGUUUCUCUUGCAUAGUUGCUUUAGUUUUUCUUAUAGACUGAUUUUCGCUGGUAAUGAAUGUGCCUAAGAGCCUCUUUGGUUCGUCCAUUUACCAUUUUGUUACUUUAUCUUAUGCGCAUUUAAUUUGAUUUCAAUGUUCUUAUUAAAUGGGACUAGAAGAACAAGGAUGGUAAUGUUUCGAAAUAUCAGAUCUCUAUAGCCUCUUGUUCCGAACUAAUGACCACAAUGCUAACAUAAAGUUCAUGUGAUAUUUUGAAAUACUUUUUAAGUAUUUUCUGAUCAAACCCAAUCCUUGAAUACUGUUAGAUGUGACUCGAAAUUGGUAAUCAAUUUCAGUUCGAGACUUCAACUCGCCGAUAGUUUUGCGGUGCGACAUUUGAAAAUAAAUUUAUGAAGAAAAAAUAAAUAUCUGUGGUGGGUAGCGAAGGGCUCGAACCGAUAGAUAGGAUCGGAAUCAAAAUUAAUUAAGAGAUUUCUUUCUUGUUUUUGCCCUAGAGGCGAUAGAUUGUGGUUGGUUGUACUUUGAACAUUGUAUUCCUUUUUUUAUGGUGAAGUUCCUUCCUUCUCCGUCCGUAAUUUUUUCCUGCAAAAUUUUUUUCACAUAAAUCUGUGUGUUUUUUUAUUUUUAUUUAUGAUUUGUUUAUUUUAUAUUCAUCAUUUUUGUUUUCAUAUGUGUGCUUGUCAUGACAAACACGAUGUAAACUAUGUGUCGACAUGGAUUGUUUUUUUCUCUAUCACGUCUAUUCUUCAAUGUAGAUGAGGUUCACUCUCCAACAACCGUUUAAAUUACAAUUGUCCUACAUUGAUGCCACAAACAAAUAUUUUAGUGGGAUGAUUUGGUGCUUCUAUGUAGUUUUCUAUUGUUUUAGGUGAGGAAGUUAUUAGAGCUUUGAAAAAAAAAAAAAAAAACUAGGUUGGAGGAAAGUGCCUUUUUAGCUUGUGGAUUUCCAUCAGAGGAAUGAGAUGAAUCAUAAUAUCCACUCAUGAAGUGUUACUGCAAAUAUUGGACUUUGGGACUGCAAAUAGGUAUAUGAGUAGUUAUAGGGGAUAAUCAUAAAAGGAAAGUACAAUGUUUUACUUUAGAUUGAGGAGAUUGAUUUGAUUGACUUCUUUAGAUUGAGGAGAUUGAUUUGAUUGACAUCAAAGGUCAGGUUUUUUAUUUUUGGAUAGAAACAUCAUUAUCCUCACCAAUCAUCAGCAUCAGAAUCAAAGGUUUUUGAUGCCAUAUCAAAGAGGUGAUUAUAAAUUUUGUAAUUUUUAUCUGAUUUUGGAAGCUGAUAUAGCAUUACUUAGAUAUUAAUUCCCAUCAUCAUUACUUUAUUCUCCUAAUCCAACUUUUUUAAAAAAACUAAAACUAUUAUAGUAGUAAAAAUCAUUAAAAAAAGACAAUUGUUUAUAUAUUUCUGAAAAAUUUCUGAUUUUCUGAUUUGUCUCUCUGAGAAGACUAAUAUUAAAAAUAUCUUUUUUAUAUUUCAAGUUAUUUUCAAUAUAUCCCUACUAGAGUUAAACCCUGUUAAUAAAUUAUUAGCAAUAGCCGUUAUCUCUGUGAAAUUACUAUUUGCUAUUUCAAAUAUACUCUUCUACUGUCAUCAAUUUUUCUAAUUUGUCCUUAAGUCAGAGGCAAAAGAAGUAUUCUGAUUUUUGGCUUUUUCGAAUAUGCCUUUCUAUCAUCACCAACUUUUUUUAUUUGCCCUUAAGUUAAGAGCAAAAAAAGUAUAUUGAUUUUUUUAAAGUCUGGUAGAUAUUUAGGGCGUGUUUGGCUCGAAGUCGAAGUCGAAGUCGGAGUCGGAGUCGGAAUCGGAAUCGAAAUCAAAAUAAGCUGGAAUCGGAAUCGGAAUGACUCAUUACCUAAUUCUGUUUGGUUCAUUACCUGAAUCGGAAUCGGAAUAAAUCAUUCCCAUUGUCGGUAUUUGGUUCAGAUGGAUAUAAAAGCGUAAUUAAAUUAAUAUACUAACAUUAUCUUUAUAAUAUAUUAAUUUAAAUUCAAAUUAAAUAUUAAAUAUUAAAAAUUUACAUCAAAAUUUUGAAAUAAUGUCAAAAUUUUAAAUCUAUUUUUUAAAAAAAAAAUAAACUUUGAAGUUGAAUGGAUAAUUCAAAAUAUGAAACUAAAUUUUGAUUUAUUCAAAUUCAAAUUUAAAAUUAUAAUUUAAAUUUUAAUUUGAAUUCAUAAAUUUAAUUUAAGUUUGAAAUAAAAUUUGAAUAAACUUUAUAUAAAUUAAAAUUUAAUUUAAAUUCAAAUUCAUAAGUUAGAUUCGAAAUACUUGAUUAAAUUUUAAUUUUUAAUUUAAAUUAAAAUUAAAAUUUAAAACUAUAUAUUUAAUUUUUAAAUUUUAACUCAUAUUUUAAUUAAAAAAGUUGAAAAAAUAAAUUUAAUCUAAAUAAAUAUCCAUUCCGUUCGGAUUCAACUUCCAAUCCGGUCUUCUAAGCCGGAUUGAAAAGGUUGAUUGAGCGAUUCCCAUUCCACUUGGAAAUCAGAAUCGGAAUAGAACUCUCACGUACCAAACACCGACAAACGGAUUCACUCAUUCCCAUUCCGAUUCCAUGGUGAAAAAGAAGCAAACUAAAUACGCCCUUAACUUACGUUAACUCGAAAUAACUUAAACGGAUAAUAAUUACGAGAGUAUUUUUAAAUAAUAAAAAAAUAUAUGAGAGAUAUAUUAGAAAUAAAAAGAAAGUACAAAUAAAUUAGAUAUUUCUAAAGUUUCGGAGGAUACAUAUACAUCAUUAUCCCCCCAAAAGAAUAAAGAAUAGAGAAAAAUAAAAUUAAAAAAAAAAAAAAGAGAGACAGGAAUAGUGAGAUUAGCGAAGCGAUCCUUAUCAGAGGGAGAAAAGCACAUGGUAUUUUCCCCCACCUCUUAAUAAUGAUGUGGCACGUACGAAUUUCUUGUGUUAAUAAUUAUUGGAAGGUUGUUUAGCUUCAGGGGCCACAAGUCACAAUUGCCUCGUACAAGCUAGGCCCCUCCUUUCUCCCAAUUUACGACGAAGCCCUAUGGCUUAGCUAAAGAGCAAUGUCCCAUGUAUCCUUUUAUACUUUAAAAAGAUGUAUUUUGACCGAUCGUCCCUACAGCAAAUGGCAAAUGACUUGAUGAUUGGUAUCCGAGACCUAAGUUCGAAUUUUAGUUAAUCCACAUUUUUAGCUAAAUUUAUUUCUAAAUGAUGUAUUUUGCAAAUUUCACCAAUUUAAUGAAUAUAAUAUUUUACUAGUUACAUCAAAUUACUAAUGAAUGACAUCACGCCUAUUGAAUGGAUGCAAUAUAAAAUAUGCAUCUUUUUUAGGAUGUAUAAGUAGGUUUUUUUUUCUAAAUUGAAUUGUGAGAUUAGACAUUCUUUGGGCAGCGUUUGGUUAGGAGAUAUGAAUAGGAAUAGACCCUUAUCCCCCUUUUUAUAUCCAAACGCUAAUUUUUUACUCGAGAAUAGUAGUUCUCGGUUAUCUCUACCAACACCUUUAUUUUCUAUAUAAAACUAUCUAAAAUUGUUCUUAUUUCCGGAAACAACCCAAUUUUCAUCCAAACACUAUUUUUCUUAUCUCCAUACUUGUAUCUAUCUCUGUAAUAGCUAGUUCUUGCUUAUACCCGAACCAAACGGUACCUUAGUACACAGGGCUCGCGGUCAUAGAAAUACAUGGGCGCGUUGCCCCAAAGAGAGAGAGAGAGAAAGGGGUCGUAGGAAGAAGGGAAAAAAUAUUUUUUUCCGUCACUAUCUCCACCAGACUCGUCUUUGCGAGAGAGAGAGAGAGAUAGAGAAUGAGGGAUGAUAAGAAGAAGGGAAAGAGUACUUUUUUCCGUCGCUAUCUUCACCACACUCAUCUUCACUGAAAGAUUCUUCAUAAUAUUUUAGUUGGAGAGAGAGAGGAAGAAGCAAAAGAGAGUAAAAAAAUAAAUGAAGAAAAUUUGUUUUUCAGCUUUCGUGAAUAGAAGGAAAGAGAGAGCCUUACGUCUCCAAAACGUGGAGAAAAUGAUCCACAAUUUUUUUUUUCAUCUUAAAUUUUAUUCCACUGUAAUUUAUAAGUUUCUUUUGUGCCCAUUCAAAUAACCAUAUUUUAGAUCUCAUUCCAAUAGACAGUAAAUAUUAUUAUUUGUGGUCUCCAUUGCUGAUUGAAAUAUUAAUCAAUUAAGUAAUUAAUUUGUGAGGAUAACAUAACAUGCCAACAAGCUAAAUUUUUUUCUUUUUAGACAACUGAAGCAGCUGCUGGAACCCUCUACUAUAACUGUAGCAAUACUUUAGAAAGUAAGUAGACUUGUAAUUUAUCUUUUUUCUAAAAAAAAAAGACCUGAUAAGCUCUUUUGAUUUGAAAAUAAAUUUUGUUUGUUUUUUUUUUAAAAAAAGGAUUUGAAAGCUUUUGGAGGGAAAGAAAGAUCCAAGGAGAUUGAGCUCCCCAAUGCGGUGACAGUGUGGGGUGCUGUCACUCUUUCUUCAAUGCAGGUAAGUGUACUACAUUGCUGCAUGUUUGAUGAGAGAGAGAGAGAGAGAGUAUUGUGUGUGUGUGUGUGUGUGUGUGUGGUUUUCACAGAUUUUGAUUCCAUCUACAUGGAAAGGAUCGCCAAGUUGUUUAAUGAUCCAAUCAAUAAGUGUUGCCUCCAAGUUCAUUUAUGGUGGCAACUUUUACUCGUGGUCUCUUCUAUCUCCUAAUUGGCUCUGGAUUUUGGUGCCCUCCAAAACUCAAUUGUGGUGUGCUGUUUUUUCUUUUUUCUUUUUUUUUCCAACCAUAUAUAUAUAUAUAUAUAAUAUUAUAUAAUUGAGCUAGAAUAUUUUACAGAGUAUACCUCUAUGAUGCUAUUAGGUUUUAGCCAUUGGAUCUACUCCUUGAUUAUUAAUAGUCCUUGGAUCAAACACUAUUCCACCUACCACCACGUACCACUAUUAUCUCAACCUCACAUUUCUCCAUCCAAUGACUAAAAACUCAAAAGCACCACUCAUAUAAUACUUUUACAAGUAUUCUAGCUCAACUCUCUCUCUCUCCUCCUCUCCUCUCUCUCUCUCUCUCUCUAUAUAAUAUAUAUAUAUAUAUAUAUAUAUAUAUAUAUAAUAGUCCGGCUACUAUACUAUCGAUAGUACCAAGUCUUUGGUACUAUUGAGUUUUCUAACUUUAGAUCUAGCCUUCAACCAUUUCAUCUGUUAAAUUAUACUAUUAAACCAACCACUCCACCAACCCUAGGGGACCACUAUUAAUUUAACCGGGGACCACUAUCAUCCUAACCGCAUAUCUUUUUAUCCAACGGCCGAAAAUCAAUAGUACCAAAGGCCUGGUAAGGCCUGGUACUAUUAAUAGUAUAGUAGCAUAAUUCUAUAUAUAUAUAUAUAUAUAUAUAUAUAUUAUAUAAUAGAGUCGGUUAUGAUGCUUGUAAAAGUAUCAAGCACUUGGUGCUUGUAAAUUCUUUACCAUUAGAUCUAUACUUUGAUCAUUUUCACCCGUUAGAUUAUAUUAUUCAACCAACCACCCACUCAACCCUAGGUGCCCACAUCAUCCUACCGCACAUUUCUUAAUCUAAGGGCCGAAAACUUACAAGCACCAAUGAUUUGGUAUUUUAGAAGUAUAGGACUCAAUUCUAUAUAUAUAUAUAUAUAUAUAUAUAUAUAUAUACAAAAAAUAUAAGGUGAGUUUUUUAAUUUUUAAAUUUUUGGAUUUAGGAGUUUGAUUCUGCGAGUCUGAAGUCCUAAUUUCUGAACUUAAACUUAAGUUCAAGACGAGAAAACUUACUUAUUUUUUAAUAUUGGUAGUUAUGGAGUGCAGCCAUUAAUAGUUCUGCUAAUUUUUUUUUUAGUUGUUCAAAUUAUUAUGUCAGACAAGCCGCAGUUGCCUAAAACGCUUGUAUACGUACGAAGUGUUAUUUAAGUAUGGUGCCCAGAGAAUCUCACUCGAGAAAAACUAAUGAUAAAAAAAUAAAUAAAUAUAAAAGCAAAAAAAAAAAAGAAAAAGAAGAUUUGUGUGCAGGGGAAAAGAAAAAAAAAAAUAAAGUUGGGCCUAAGAAACAGAAGAGGCCCAGUGAGUGAGUGGCACAUGCGUAAAUAGUUGGAACCUCGGCCCCUUUUAACCCACCAACCUUAUACAGCUGGAGACAGGGGGGGGACCCCACGUGGGGGCCCACAUUGACGUGGGGCCCAACAAAAUAAUUAAGAUGGUGAUAUUUUUGUGAGCGUGAGUGUUUUGUGGGCCUCUCGCCACGUCAUCCUCUCCCUUCACCGCCACCUCUCCUUUUUUUAAUAUAUAUAUAUAUAUAUAUAUAUUUUAAUUUGAAACUUUGGCCCUUUACCCUCUUUUUUUUUUUCUUUUUUCUUUUUUCUUUUUUAUUAUAUUUAUUUAUUUAUUAUUUAUUAUGAAUAAAAUAUUUAUCAGCUCGCUGAGCGAAGUGCAGUGUCUCCGUGCCGCUUUUCCCCUCUCCGACCUCCUCCUCCCUCCUCUCUCCUCUCCCUCCUCUCCCCCAAAACCCUAACCCUAACCCUAAGCGACCCCACCGCCGAGCUCCGCCAUUGCCGAUCCACGACCCAUCGCCAUCGCCCGCAAGCGGAGCUCUCGAAUCGCUUCUACUUUCGUGGUAAUGCCUCUUUUUCGCGUAUUUUCUCUAUGGAUCUCGAUGAGGUUUUGCUUCCUAGUUGUUGAAGGGGGGCCUCGGGCUUUUUUCUGCUGUAGCUUUCUCAUUUUCCUCGCAUUGUUGUGUUGGAUAAGAGGCGAAAAGGUGAUCUAGUAUCUUGUUUGGUUCUCGAUUUGUUCUUCGUUACUUUAAGAAUUACUUUUAUUUCGUGUAAGUUUUAUGAAACGGAUUCUAAAUGCAGCAUCGGUAUCCAGUUCAUGGUUAGGGGGGAAAGGAAUUUGGUUUCUCGCACAUAAAUCUUAUAGAACAUACAGUGCGGAUUUAUUCUGUAGUGUACAGAUUCACGAAAUUUGAGGGUUAUGUUACGUCUUCAAUUUUGAUGAUUCCUUUACAGGAACUGGUUUCUAAUUAGAUCUAUGAUAACCGUACUAUCAUCUGAAUCCACAUUGGGACUUUAGCUGGUUGUUCUUGAAGUUAGUUUGUAAGAGGUAGUUUGGGUUGGUUAAUUCUAUGUGAAAUAAUUUGAGUCAUCAAAGAUCAUAGAAGUGCUUUGUCUUGUAAGUUAAGAUUUUUAUGGAAUGAAGGGAUCGGAUUUUGGGGAAGAUGGGAAUUAUUUACUAGCAGUUUUGAAUUAUGCACUAGUUGGUCAUUUCGGCAUUUCGUUUCUCAUUUUGUAUGACCCUAUACAGCCCAGUAGAGAACUUUCUAAUUUUCUUAUUACAUGUCGUUAUCUAGUAUGGCUUAUAUUAAGAUUUCCUGAGCCUUUCAGUUUCUGAUGCUAUCAUGAUGGCUAGAACUUGAUUAUGUGAAUGCUUCUGUCUCUAAUCAUGAAUUGGGUCAUUUUCUAGGAUAAUGGUGCAUAGAAUCUGGAUAAGUUGCUAUCUACUUCUCUCAAAUCCAAGAUUCAUUAUUCUUAGAUAAUGAAGCCACGCAUAUGUCGAGUGUACUGUUUUUGAAAUUACUUCACAUGCCUUCCAUGGAGACAGUAUGGUCAGGGGUUUUGUAGAAAUUUUGCUGUCAGAGUAAUUAGUUUAGGUGGCUGUUUGCUUCAUUGCCAAAUAUGGGAUCUUCUGGCUGUACUUCUGAAAUCGUUGAAGUAAAAGAAGAAAUGAAUGAACUUCGUUCUACUGGAUCUGUUCCACUGCGUGUGAAGGUGAAGAGAGAGGACAAGAAUGGUAAAUCUCAUGAUUAUCCUUUAGAAGAUGACCUUGAUCAGCUUCUCAAAGCAAUUGAUGUAAGAACAUCGUCCAGGGUCUUUCCAUCUCAGGCGGGUUCUGACUUGCUGCAUAAGAAUUCCUAUAAAAGGUUUGUUAAAGUCGGGACAUCUCAAGCAUCAGGAAUUGGGAUAUCUGACUCUGUUACCCUUAAACAGGCACUAAGAAGGCUAUGCAUUUCUCAGGCUUCUGAGAUGGCUGCUAUGAAGAGAUUGUCAAAGCCAAUUGGACUAUCUGGAGUUUCAGAAGCUGGAUUGAUUAAAAAGCUCUAUGCAACUGUAGUGGUCCAAUCCAGUGACACGCUAGAUGAGGAAAAAGGUAAUUUGUUAGAAAUAUCCAUCAUGCCUGAAAAAGCUACAGAUGAUUCAACUAGUCAGAAUGCUUCAAUGCGCGAUCAAUCUUCUACCACCGAUAGGGGCACAAAAAUCAGGAUCCAAGAUGUGAUUAGACAGGACCCAGCAGAACUUAGUGAGAGCCCAAAAGCUGCUUUAGAAACAGAUAAAAAGGGAAAAGCAGUUUCAAAAGCUUCUGUUGUUAGCUCUCAGGGAGGUGCUUGCCCAGUCAAGUCUAUAGCAAGUCCACGCCUGGUCAAGCCAGCAUUUCGGAACAAGCCCUGCAUCAAAAAGAAAGUGAAACCAGAACCAUCUUCAGUAUCUAGCUCAAGCAUACAUGUUGAAACCAACAAAUUUGAUUCUCUUUCUAAUAAAUGUAGACUUGGCCAUCAGAAAGAACCCAUCCCCCCAUCAUCAAGCAGUGAGAAGUCUGUUGGUUCUACACUAAUAGAAAGUACAAAUUUUGUCACAAAUGUGAGUGAAUGCUCGAGAAUAAGGGAAAAAGGGGAAUGUUCCCAAAGUUCUAAAAGCAGCAUUGGUGAUUAUAGCAGCAGCACAAGCUUCAGUGACGACAGCCACUGUGGUUUUAGUGGUAACAGUAAUAAGCCUCACAUGUCAAAGGAUGUGAGAUGGGUAGCUAUUCGGCGAGUUGUAAUGCGACAAGGAAGCUUAGGGUUGGAUAAUUUUGAUCUUAUUAAAAGGUUAGGUUCUGGAGACAUUGGGACUGUGUAUUUGGCUGAGUUGAUUGGUUCAGACUGCUUAUUUGCGCUGAAAAUCAUGGAUAUUGAGUUCCUAAUUAGCAGGAAAAAGAUGAUGAGGGCGCAAACUGAGAGAGAUAUAUUGCAGAUGCUUGAUCAUCCAUUUCUUCCGGCACUUUAUGCCUAUUUUACAACGGACAAUCUCUCAUGCUUAGUUAUGGAGUACUGUCCAAAGGGUGACCUCCAUGUCCUUCGACAGAAACAACCUAUGCGAAGUUUCACUGAACCGGCUGCUAGGUAUGUACUAUCAUGAUUAAAUAAUCCUUGCUGCACUAUCGUGAUUAAAUAAUCUUUGCUGCAUGUGCUAUCCUUGAGUUCAGAGUGGUGCCUUUAUUUUUUCCUGUGUCUUUUCACUUUGUUUCGGAACAUUUACCUUCUUUUUUUUGUGUGUGUGCGUGUGUUUAUGCAUGUAUGCGUGCGUGUGUGUGUGUGUCUGUGUGUUUUGAAAGAACCUCCUGAUGGUAACUAAGACAUUUGGAUCCAUAGUAGUCCUGCUAGAGUUUCAUACUGCAGCAUCUGGAUGUAGCAAAAUAUAAGAAGGAACACACAAGAAGAAAACAUUAAAAAUGAACCGGAAUCCAGAUGCAGUUGAACAGACCCACCUGACGAGUCAAUAUGUUUUCCAAUAGCUACCUGGUGAACUGUCUAAAUGAUUUUUCUACUAAGUAUUUAUACUUAUUAUUAUACAGUUGUCUGGACAUUCAUCCACAGAUUUAACAUUGCAUUAUCUCCGCUAAUGCCCUGUCGUCAGUCUUUGAAAAAUUUUGCAUCUCCAUGUGGGUAACGAAGAUCUGGUUUGGACUAAAAUAUAAUCUGACUUUUACUGGAUUUCUAGGAACUAUACCGAAGUUUUAAUUUCAGGUUCUCCUUACUAUUGUGCUCAUUAUGUUGCCUUGUAAAAUUACUUGGAACUCACCUCAAGUCGCUCUUUUACAGGUUCUAUGUUGCGGAAGUUCUCCUAGCUUUGGAGUAUUUACACAUGUUAGGGGUGAUAUACCGUGACCUAAAGCCAGAAAAUGUGCUUGUUCGCGAAGACGGUCACAUAAUGCUUUCGGACUUCGAUCUCUCUCUCCGGUGCUCUGUGAGUCCCACACUUCUGAGAUCCUCAUCUCUAGUCAGAGAAGAGGACCUUUCCAGAAAACUCUCGGGACCCUGUGCGGACAAAAGCUGUAUAGAUCCUCUGUGCAUCCAACCCUCUUGGCCCCAAGUCUCUUGCUUCACUCCUCGUCUAGCGUCUUCGUCCACUCCAUCCAAAAGCCGUAAACCAAAACUAGGUCUAAGCAACCGUGCAAGCUCUUUCCCACAGCUUGUUGUGGAACCCACCGACGCACGGUCUAAUUCCUUUGUCGGGACCCAUGAGUAUUUAGCCCCCGAGAUUAUACGAGGUGAUGGCCAUGGAAGUGCUGUAGACUGGUGGACUUUCGGGAUAUUCCUUUACGAGUUACUAUACGGAAAGACGCCUUUUAAGGGACGGGAUAACGAGGAAACACUGUCCAAUGCAGUUUCACAGAGUUUGAGAUUUCCUGAAAACUCAAAUGUUAGUUUUCAUGCGAGAGAUUUGAUUAGAGGAUUGCUGGUGAAGGAGCCAGAGAAUAGGCUAGGAACAGUAAAAGGGGCGGCCGAGAUUAAGCAGCAUCCAUUUUUUGAGGGUUUGAAUUGGGCGUUGAUACGGUGUGCCGCACCGCCCGAGACACCGAGAAGCUACGAUGUGGGGACUCCUGUAAUGAUGCGUAAGAAGAAGCAAGGUAAGUGUUUGGCCUUUGGGAGUAAUGAGGAUGUGGAGUUUGAGCUUUUCUAGUGUAGAAAAAGAAAUAGUAAUAUACUAGCACUAUGACAAUAUCUUGUUCCUAGGCCUAUUGUUGUCCUUGUGCGGAUCUUGUUGCCGUAGUCGGUAGAUCACGUUGUAAAUGUUGAUUCUUGUAAUGCAUGAAGCGCUCUUUCGUCCUCAUUAAUUAAUAGCAUGAAUCUGGUGUUUUCAGUCCCAGUAGGGCUCACGGUUUGAGUUGUAGAUGGCUAAGCUCCCGAUUCUUGAAAGUAAGAAUAUGGCUUAGAACAAGUAAUAGCAAGAAGUCAUGAUCGAGUUUGGUGGCGUGGAUUUUCUUUUAAAUUUUUUUACUUUUCUUUUUUCUUUUUUCCCCUUGGUUAUUCUUUUGGAAAGAAGUUUGUUGUGUUAAGCACACUAAUGUAUAUUCUCUUUGAUCGGUCUCUGGUUCAACUGAACUUUGUUCUUUCGCUCCUGGUAUGUUCCAACUAAACUUGUAUUUGGGUUUCCUUAUUUGGUGAAAUUUCUUCUUAAAAUGAGAUUAGUUAUCCUUGGAUUAAUUAAAGAAAUCUAGGCACAGGUUGGAUGUUCAAAAUAACUACAAAUUUAGUAUUAUUCACCAAACUGAAUAUGAAUCUGAUUAUGUCUAUCGAUAAAAUUUUAUCACAUUUCAUGCUUGAUGCUUCCCAUCUUAAAAUUUUCAAUCCGUUUUUAUAAUGGGACUUAAAAAUUCAGAAGAAAGUGUAAAUCCCUGGACUAUUAUAAGUAAGGUUUGCGAAGAGAUACCGGGGCACUCCCAAAAGCUAUUAAGAUUUAAAAAUUUUAAAAAAAUGUACUACAAACUUCAUUAUACAUAGGAGUAAUUUUACUAUAAUUAAAGGGUCUUAUCUGCUUUUUUGACCAACAAAGCUACAGAUUUUACUAAUAAUUAAUAUAAAUAAACAGUCAAAUUUAAUAAUCUCUCCUAAAAUCACUCAAAUUUAAAAAAUAUAGACUUGAAGAGGUGUCAAAAGAAAAAAGGACAAAAUAAAUAAAUAGGGAAGUUUAAGUACAUUUUUACCAUUUAUGACGGAAAUUUCAACCCGCGUUGUACUCCCUCCGCCGUAAGCUUUGGAUUCCAUUUUGCGAGAAACUGAAAAUUUCUAUUUUAGGUUAAAAACGAGAGCGUCCAAAAAUAGACUUAUCGAAGACUCGGGUUUGGACUGGGCCCAACAAAACCCGCCCGCUAUUUCUAGGCCUCAAACAUCCAAAUGUCCACUUCCACUCCACGUCUCUUGGGCUACUGCACAAACGGGCCUAGUGAGUUAAACCGUAUGUUAAUGGGCCGCAUACAUCAGGGCCGCGAUACGGGCGCUGAGAUCGAGGUGGGCUUUGUUCGAGGCCAACCUUGUCAUUCAUAGCUCUACUUUCGUACAUUCUCGUUUUUAACCUAAAAUAGAAAGUUCUCGGUUUCACGCGACUCUUUUAUAUAUGAAGCGUCUCUUCCCCCGAGUGAAAAUAGGUGCACAGUGUUGAAAUGGGUACCGUUAUUAUUCCUAAUGGAAACUAUCCCAUCGUUUAUCUUGCGUUUAGUUUAUGUAUUCUGCAUCAUCUCUAACUCUUUCCCUCGAUAGCCAUAAUCUUUGCCCAAUAUUUUGAAACAUAUUCUCAAUAGUUAGUUUAUCGUAAUUCUCCUCCGUGUCCGAAGUUGCUAGAAAUGAUAUCCUCAUUCGCCAGAAAUAAGCAGCAGCUAUUUCGAGUUCUUCAAAUAUAUACCUCAUCACGCUGCUGGAAUUGCUUGAUGAGGAUCAUGGAAAGAUAUCAGCAGCUGCACAAGUUCCCAAAUUAUGUUCUCAACUCCAAAUGGAACUGCUUUCACUCUUUAAAAAACAACACAGAAAUCCCACCGUCUUUUAAUUGCAUCAGAGCAGUGAAGUUUUAGAAGCACUCCUAGAUUUCUCGGCAACUCCGAAUUAUCAAAGUGAUUGCAUUUGAUGAAGAAAUGCAUAUACUGAAACUAGUUCUUACUGGAAUAAAUAGUCACGUGCGUCAACGGAGGAAUCUAUAACUGAAAGUUCAUCACGGUCUGACCAUUAACUUAUACAGAUAUCACCGAGAACAGUUCGGUCAAUUAUACUGUCUACAAUGCCAAAAACCGAAAGACCUAAGUGUGGAAAAAAUGCACAUAUACAUGAUCAAAUAACAUUACAUAUGACAUUAUAUAUAUUUACAAUAAAGCCUAUUCCUGAAAACUAAUGGCAUCUUGUGAACUCAAAAAAAAAUCUGCAAUGAAAAGGUAUACAUCAACUUACACUAUAUAGGUCUUCUUCAACACUUUCCUUCCCCGUUUUCUCCGAGGUUCGACCAUGAUGUUCAAGGCAUUAACGAUCUCGGCGUCUUCUUCGUUCCACAGAUUUUUUGCAGCCUCGGGCUUUUCCAGCAGCAAUUUUGCUACAAGGAAUCCGGCUAUAGACCAAGUUUGGUAUAGCCGAGCUUGCUUUCCAAUGAAACGAGCUCGUUUUGAGUCAUAAUAUUCGGGCCAUCUAUCGGUUGCUAUUCGCUUCUCAGCAACCUCUACAGCUUUGGCAGCAAUCUCUGGCCUAUUCAUUUUUAUGCAAGCAACUGCUAGCUGCAAUUUGAAAGAAAGAGAUCAGAAGUUUUGAAUUAUUACAAUUAUUUAACAAGAAAGGGGCUUUACCUACAGGAGCAAUCGUGGUCAUGGAAAAGUAGAAUAAAUGAUCUAUUAUCACUUAAAGGCUUUCAAUCAAUUCCCUUUUCUCCAGGUAUAAAAGAAUCAGCUCAUACCCCCCACAGAACAUACCCAAGUUGUCGUAAGCUAUCAUACACUCAUUAAGCCAACCAAAAUCAAGUGUAGGCUACUAUAAUUUAAAAUUAAAGCACAUUGCAUAGAAAGUAACACAUGAAAGUGUACAAUGAGAUUUUGGAAGUUGUGUAUAUGUUUUAGGAGUUUCUGGCAUGAAGAGCUGGUAAACCUACUAGAGAAACCGGGAUAACUGAACAAGAUAAAACAAGCUAAAGAAUCACAAUUGUACAGCAGGUAAGACUUUUUGGCCAACACAUGGAUUCCUGAAGCAAAGGGCUUGGAGAUAAUAUGUGAAUUGCAGUAUGUAUAAAAAUGCAACACAAUCACAUGCCAUAGCGUAAGGUAAAAUUUGAAACCAAUCGAUGCCGACAGAAAACUAAACAUGCAAAACUGAUAGAUUUCAAUAGAGAGAAGAAACUGCCAACCUGCCACAGUAAUGUUGGCCACGAGCCUCCAUUGUGGUAUGACCAAGGCCUGCAUCAAUAACAAACAUAACAAAUAUAACAAGAUAAUAAGUGCAAAAUAGAAAAAAACAAAAAAGAACAAGGACCAAAACUGUAAGUAAUUACGUAUUUUUGGGAUCGCUGCCGGUGAUGAUUCGCCAUUCCUGGCCCUCAAGAGUAGGAUAACAUAUCUUAAAUGGCAUAUCAGCCACUAAAUCAGACCACUUAGCCUCAAUCAGAUCCAAUAUGGCAUGCGAUUGGUGUGUCGUGGCUAAGCUGCUCACUAUAGACCACAGAUUCCCCAAAGAAAAGAAACGAAAAUCCAUGUGGGCGGGUUGCAAAUUCCCAAUGAGGUAGCCACCCUUACAGGGCAUCCACUCCACUAGCCAUGGAGAGACCUGAUCCGGGUAAAUGUUGAAUUUGUUGACAGCAUCAUAAGAAUAUUCCUCUGUUUUAUAUCGGUAUAUCUCAUUGAGUUUUUGCAUGUCGACCCAGUAAUACUCCCUAAUGUGAAAGGAUAGUGCUAUCAGCCUAUUAUUUAAUGCCCGAAUAAGAUCUGCCGAUCCAUCCUCAGGUGCCAGCAUUUCACGAGCACAUAGGAGAGCUGAAUAAAAUAGUGCCUGCAGAAAACCAUAAUCAUCAAGGGGGGAAAAAUUAUUUGGUUCUAUCACUAAGAAAAGUUUCUCUCCACUAGAAAGAAAUUAUGAAUAGCAUAAUGGUUUAUAGAUAUCCGGAAUAAUAUUUCAUAAUGAUUAACCGUUUUGGAAGAUGAUUUGCAAGUAAGAUGUAACUGAACUCUUAUAAUAAAGCUCGUAAAUAAUUGGAAGAAUCAAGAGACUUUGGAGCAGACAUGCUAGUGGCCCAAUGCAAGCAACACCACUUACAAAAAUUUGGAAGAAAGGGAAAAUAGGUGGAGUGUUUUCUAGACAUGAAAGUUGAAAAAAAAAAGGAAAAAGAAAAUUGUCUCUGAUUGAUCAAAAUGAUACUUAUAGUUCCGCUUAAAUUUGUUGUAUGCUGAAGAUAAUACUGAUAUAAUGCAAAAUAUAAGGCUAAUAGACAAUCCAGCAUAAUCAUAUACAUCCACAUAGGAUAACUUUUUGUACCAGCACCCAAAAAAAAGUUACAUCAAAUGGUCGAAUUUGUGCACCAAAUUGUAGCUACCUCCUUAGUCAAAACAAAGCAAUUUUGGGGUUAUUUUAGCAUAUGAUACUGAUGGAUCUUUCAAGAAUCUUAACAACUCUAAAUCAAAUAGUAUGUCCUAAUGGUGAAUAAAUCAUUCUUUCACAGGACUUAAAAUUCUCAUGCCACCAUGCAAUACACACACAGAGAAAAAAAAAAAAAAACUGAAGAGCAAGCAAUGUUUUUUACACUCCGCACAUGUCAUCCAGUAUCAUGACAAACAUUACUUCUUAUCGAGCUAUAUGAUGCGAUUGUGAACAACUUUUUGUGAGAUUUAUGAUAGAACAUCUCACUAAGUUACUAGAGUCUUGUGCUCUAAUGCAAUCUAGACCAUAAGAAAGGGAAAAAAAUACAAAUUACAAAAUUCUUUGUCAAAUUUACCUGAAUUUCUAGCGGGUGGCCAUGAAUUCCCAUACGGCGAUCAAUCAUGCACGAGCCGUCCGUUACCAGUAAUGUAGGGAACAUAUCAAAGCCAUCCGCAAGACAAAGCUUCAGGAUCAUUUUGAUUCCAGUCUGGACAUCAAUUCUCUCCUGAACUGACAAAUCCCCAGAGCAUUUUCCAUAUGCUCUGAGCAAUAUAAUCCACCAUAAUCCUAUUGAAAUUCAAGGUUUUCAGGGAACGCGCAACAAUCAUGAAGAAAAGAGCACGUAUUGAGAAAAGGAUAAAAUUAAUGAAUUCCCUACAUAAUCCUAAUAUUAUGAUUUGGGCUUGUCACUUAGACAGCGCCCAAACAUUUCACCUCUAGUCCCUGAACUUUCUCAGAUAUUGCAAUUCCAUUCCUAACCAUCCAAACAAUCUAAGUACUCUCCUGCAAAAGGAUCAUCUUACCCCUGCUCUAGAAAAAUUUUGUUAUUUCAGCGUACUAUCAAAUAUCUUUAAAAAGUCCACUUCAUAGGAACAAAUUGUGUUUCCAGAUUUCCCUUUAAGCAGCCAGGGAUGAAAUUGCAGCAUAACCAAAAUCUCAGGACAAGUGCUUAAAUCAAAAGUUUAGGGACAAAAUUGCAACAUAUAGAUGGUACAGGACUACAAGGACCAUUUUUCUAGUUUACACUAGAAAAAUUUAGCACAUUUUAAUAGAUAAUUCAGGACAAUCAUCUUCUCUGCUAAUAAUAUUACCCGAAUCAACAGGUGCUACACGUCCUAUUGCAGCCUCUCCGAAAUCAGGGUCCAAAACCUCCUCAGUUGCAGAAUCAUCACCAUCUAGUGGAACUGUCCGCACCUUAAAGCUGGCAGGCAUAAGCCCCUGCCCUGGACUGUGGCAAUCCAUUGUUUUCUCCCAGCUCUACAAAGUGAAAACAUAGACCGGAUGAUAUUAACUGUAGGAAUUAAACAUAAAAAAGUCUGGCUUUUAAUGACACUAAACUAUUUUAUGUGCAGAGCUGCUACGCAAAAAUUUGUCCUCAGAAAAUCUUACUCUGUCAAGCUAACAAGACAAAAAAUUAGAUGCUUCAUAAUCUGGUUCGUCAUGCUCAAUUUUGAAGAAGGUGAUGACAAAAGAUCAGGGCAAUUAACUUAGUAACCCAUUGAAAGUAAAUAAUUAGAUUUUUCUGACUCUGCAGCGAUUGAUUGCUGGAAAUAUUGAGAUAAGUCAAGACAUGCUUAAAAAGAAAAGAUGUGGGAGUGAUUGUAGGAAUUGAAGUUACUAGUAUGCCACUAGAGUGAUUAAACAAUGGUUAGAAAAUUCAACAUACCAAAGUCUUUAAAAAGAGAAUUACGUGAUUUCUUAAAAUAAUGCCUCCAAUAGUAACGAUCGAUGACUUCCCAAAUAAAUAAGAUAAAGAAACUGUAUAAAUUGCUAUCAAUAACGACACAAACAUAUAUUUUAACUGCAGUAAAUUUAGUGGGACAAGAAGGAAGCUGUAAGAAUAUUACCUGAAGUUGAAGAGUGUGAAGAAUGAAGUUGCGGACGAUAUCGUACUCUCCCUUCAAAAGGAACGCGAUCCCGGAAGGUAUAAAGUCACGAAUGAAUACCUGAUCAUAGUUCAAUACAUUGCUAUCUGAUGGGUCCUUUGCAGCAAUUGUUCCCACCGGACUGCCACAAUAAAAAACCAUGGAUUCCUGUAAAAGGCGCCAAGCUUCGUCCUCAACAGAGUUUCCCCUUUUCUUCGGCGAUGCACUAUUAGCUGCUCCAACAGGUGUAGAUUUAUCGUCACUACUUUCAAUAACUCCAUUUUCAAAACCAAUAGCUUUUUGGCCAUUCACGUCACCGAGAACCUGGCUUGCUUUACUCACUGCAUCUUUUACCCAAGUUCCAUUUGUCCCAUUUCCAUCCUCAUUAGUUAUUUCAGCUAUUUUCUCAAUUCGCUGACAUUGAGUCGUUACAAACUGAGAUCUAUGAUAGGCGGGCAGGGUCCCACAUAGCCUUGGAAAAUUUUGGCGUGUAUCGGAAUUAGAAGACGCUCUUAAAUACAAAGGAGCUCUCUUUCUCCUACCAUUUCGAUUAAUUUUUAAUGGAGAAAGGAAGGGCAAAGUGUUCGGCGAAAGAGGACAACAAUAGUGACCUGGUAUUGUCCCGGACAUAACGAGAAGAGAUGCAGCUUCUAAGAUUUCCAUAUUCAUAGAUCUCAGAGUCUCACAGUGAAUGUUCCUUGUUGCUGUGUAAAGCUAUGUAGAAGCUACACUGCAUACGGUAUCUAUAACACUGGCGAAAGAGGAAAAUAAAGCAGCAAUAACAUACAGUAAGAAUAAGGGAUAGAUCAUUUAAACACGAGUAACAAAUUGUGCUCGUUAAUCGCUUUCCAUACUCUAAAACUAAACAAUAACAUCUCGUUUACAAAUUUUAAGAUCCGGAAACACGUACUUCCAUCAGCUGAGUACGAUCAAAACUAGUUCAUCGAUCGCCAAAUCAAAUCAAAACCAAAAGCACGAAUCAAUUAGAACAAACAAAGAUCCGCAAACAUGCGCAAACCAAAAAACUCGAGAAAACACGAAUCAGAAUCGCCAGAUCCAAAAAAGCACUCGGAAACAUGUUCCAAUCACAUCCACACGAACAACACACCACUAAAUUAAACGAAUUCGAGAGCAAAAUCUCACCUGGCGCCGCCCCGAUCUCACGGGAACCAAAUCCAAAUAGAAUAAUUUGAUCCGAGAAAGAUGAAUUGAGCAAAGGGAUCGGAGAAAUGGCGAUGCCCUAAAUUUAUUAAGACGAUAAUAAGAAAAUAAUUUAUCGUCUCCUUCGUGAUUAUUACGGGCGAUGAUGCUUCGCUCUCACAAACACAGAGAAGGCGACGAAAGAGGAAACCUCGAUGAGUUUUGCGCUCUACGCAAAUGCGCUUUUUUUUUCCGGAGAUAAAAAAAAAAGCGUAUAUUAUUGGGCCCGACCCUACUUAAUCGGAUACUCGAAUCCCAGUUUUUUUUGGUAAUUAUUAAUUAUUUUCCUGGUUUUUAGUUUAAAUUAAUUAAAUUUUGAGUUGAUCUUGGUAAUAAACUCUAAUAAGGCGAAGUUUAGGAGCUGUUUGAUUUGUCGAAAAAGCGUGAAAAAAAAAAAGUUUUGAGAAAAGAGUGUUUCAUGGGAAUUUUUAUUUCAGUUUUUUUUAUCCUUUAGUUAAAAAAAAGUUGCUUUUUUAAAUUUUUUCAAAUUUUAUGACUAAUUAAUAUUUUUGUUUGUCAAAUUUUUUUUAGAACAAUAGAAAUACUAGAUUUUUUUUAUAACAUUUAGAAAAAUCUUUUCAUGAAAGCUAAUUCUUUUUGAAAUUAAAUGGACAGAAAAAAAAUCUUUAAAAAUAUUUUCACUUUUUUUCAGAACUAAACAGCCCUCCAAAAAGAGGAGGAAAAAAUUCUAUCGUUAACCCAAUUCCCGAUUAAUCUCUCCAUUAAAGGAAAUAAGUAAUACAUUUAAAGAGAGAUAUAUAUGUAUAUUUAUUUAACUACGACUAUAGUUUUUAAAACUAAUAAUUUAUUUUUUUGAGAAAUAGGUAGCAAGCUACCUGCUUCAUUCAUUAAGUAACAUGAAUUUAGCAUACAAACUGGAAGCAGCUAGGGCCUCCGAACCGAGGGAACGAAGAAAAAACAAGAGAACAAAAACCAGGUCCGUGCGACCCAGGAAACAAGUGAAAACCAAAUUAAACAAAAAUGGGAAAACGGAGGGCAAAGCGCAGAUCUCGGGAGAGAAUCAAAGUGCUCCGUUCCAGGCAUCGAUCAAAACGGCGACACGUUCGAGAGCCCGGGAAACAUUAAGAGGUACGUCGCGGAAGCAAAUGCCGUUACGCUCCGUCCAGAUAACCCACCAAAUUGCCGCCAACUUGGUUAAAAUAUUUGAUCUCGUUACAGCCUCGGGAAUGUCCGAGAACUGUGUCCAAAGCUGUCGUACAUCCCCCUCAUCCGAAUCCGCCUCCACUAAGGCUCCUACUUUAAAACGGAGAAAUCUGACAACGAUACAGUCGUGGAAAAGGUGAUCAGCUGUUUCGGGUAGUAGCACACAGAACCUGCAGUGCUGCUCCACAAUGCACCCUCGACGAAGCAGUCUGUCUGCCGUAGGUAAUCUCUUUCGAAGUAGAAUCCAUAUGAAAACUUUGUGCUUGAGCGGGAUUUUUAACCCCCAAAGUUGAUCGUACAAAGUAUCAAUCUGUCCUCCGUCGGUGAUGAAUUCGUAAAGUGAUUUGACGGUAAAAUUUUGGUUAUUGGUCCAUCGCCACUUUAGUUUGUCAUGUGAAUCCGAAGGGGUAUAGUGGGAGAGUAGGUUUUUGAGCAUCGCAGUCUGUUGGCUGUUCUGACCAUUGUUACGAAUAGCAAAGCCUCUGGUUAUAAAGCGCCAUCUCCAUCCUCUUUCGUUCCAACAUUGAGAAACCGUAGCUUCCUGGUUUGCGAUUCUGCUGAAGAUUCGUGGAAAUCGGGUACUAAGGGGUGUUUCUUCGAUCCAAAUAUCCGACCACCACCUGAUGUUUUUCCCAUUGCCGAGAACAUACGAAACCCCGCUUUUGAACACGUCUUGACUACUCAUCACGCUUCUCCACCACUGGGAGUAGGGUCUGAAGGAUUUACCUUCACGUAACGGCCUUCUUCUGGUGUAAUAUAAUGCAGUGAUCAGCCUCCCCCAUAACAGCGAUUUCUCAUUGAAGAAACGCCACCACCAUUUUGCUAAAAGCGCCUUAUUCAUUGCUUCCAUAUCCUUUACCCCUAGGCCUCCUUCUUUUUUGCUCCUACAAAUCGUUUUCCAACCGACGAGGCAUGAACCUCCCGCAAUUUUUGAACAUCCUUUCCAAAAGAAGGAUCUUCUAAGCGCUUCAAUGCGCUUCAACACCCAUUGCGGUGCUUUGAAGAUUGCAAAGUAGAAUAACGGAAGAUUCGAGAGUACCGAGUUGACCAAGAUGAGUCUCCCCCCUUGAGAGAGGAGUUUUGCUUUCCAUCCUUCAAUACGCGUCUCAAUGCGGUUGAUGAUCGGCGUCCACUCUUCCUUACGAAGGGGGUUGAUAUGUAGCGGAAGGCCCAAGUAGCGGAACGGUAGGCUACCUACUCUGCACCCCAAAAUAUCCGCAUAUCGUUUCGCUCUGUUUGCGGUGAUUCCCAGGUGGUAGAGUUCCGUCUUGUUCAUAUUUAUCUUAAGGCCAGAUGCCCAUUCGAACAUCUUCCAAAUGAAAAGUAGGUUACGCAUAGCGGACUUCGUGGGUUUUGAGAAGAAUAAUGUAUCAUCCGCAUACUGCAGAAUCACUGUCUGGCUCUCGUCUGAGGGUCCUAUUCCCUGAAGUAAAUUAUUAGCCCUUGCUGCUUCCGUGACCCUAGCCAGACAGUCGGCCACUAGAAUGAAUAAGUAGGGGGAUAGCGGGUGCCCCUGUCUCAGUCCCCUCCUUGUUUUCAUCCAGUUAGUCGGUGAGCCGUUUACUAAAAUGGCUAUUUUAGCGUUACAAAUACAUUGUUCGAUCCAGUUCCACCAUUUGUCAUUGAACCCAAGCCACCUUAAAAUACUUUGCAAGAACCUCCAGCUGACUUUGUCAUAAGCUUUCUCGAAAUCCACCUUAACACUGAUGCACUCCCUAUUGGUUUUUGCACACCAGUUGAGAAGUUCAGACGCCGUGACGAAGGAAUUGGCUAAUAAACGAUCUUUCAGGAAAGCCGAUUGUGCGGGGGAGAUUAUAGAUGGUAAGACCCCCGCGAGUCUGUUCGCAAGAACUUUAGAGAUAAUCUUUUGAAUUCCGUUCAAGAGGCAAAUCGGUCUGAAAUCAUUAACCAGGCAUGCUCCUUCCUUUUUGGGGAUUAAACAUACAUAAGUGUAGUCAACCGGUGCCGUAAAGAGGUCCAUGGUCUGCAGGUCUCUGAAGAUAUCAAGAAUGUUGUCCUUAACUGUCUCCCAGAAAUGUUGGAAAAAGAUUAGCGGGAAGCCGUCGGGACCAGGCGCCUUGUCACUCCCUAGUUGAAAGGUAGCUUUUUUAAUUUCAUCUAUAGUGAAGGGGCUCGUGAGAGAGUCAGAGUCAGGUAAGGCAUCCGCACGGUACAAGUCGGCCCAAUCACCGAAAGAAGGCGGGUCAUCUUCCACGUUCCCAAAGAGACAUUUAAAGGAUUGAAAGAAACAUGAUUUCAUAUGCGCUUCGUUGCUGAUUUGUGUUCCCUCCUUGUCUUCAAUAAACUGAAUCUUGUUGCAACGCUUCUGCCCAUUGGCCACUGCAUGGAAAAACUUUGUAUUGCUGUCUCCUUCCUUUAGCCAGUGCUGUUUAGCUCUCGUUUUCCACAGGAUUUCUUCCUCCUUCAGUAUGAGUUGGAGCUGCACUUUAAGGUCUACACGUUUAUCCCGUUCUUCCUGAGUCAAGAUGUUCCGUUCCUCCAAAAGAUCGAUGCACCGAAUUUCUUCCUGUAAUGAUCUUAUCGCGUUGGAUAUACUAUGAAAUUUCGUUUUGCACCAUUCCUUCAUCCUGUUUCUGCAAUGUCUCAACUUCGCCGUUAGCGUGAGGAUGGCUGACCUUUGACCGGGUACUUCAUUCCACCAGAUCGGUACGUAAUUUGUGAAGUCCGCCCUAGUAAGCCAUACCCUCUCGAAACGAAACCUCCGCUGAGUGUGAGAGUUUCCAGUCUCGAGUAAUAAAGGGGUGUGAUCGGAGGUAAUUCUAGGUAGCGCGGAUACCCUGCUAAACGGGAAAACUUGAUCCCAUUCCGUCGAGACAAGGAAUCUAUCCAGUUUGGCCAGAGUUGGUGAGCGUUGCAUGUUAGACCAAGUAAAAUUUUGAUUGGAAAUAGGCAGGUCGAUGACUUCGAGAUUUGAAAUGAGGUCAGAGAACAUUGACAUCGCUUUAAAGCUCCACUGGUUCCCGGUGUGUUCGGCCUGGUUUCUAGUAAAGUUGAAAUCCCCACAAAUAACCCAUUUACAGUUGGAACAAACUGCGCCGAGGGCGAGGAGCUCAGCACAGAACUCUUCUUUCCCAUCCCAAGAUGGCGGUCCAUAUACAUUCGAAAGGUAAAAGCUCGUAUUACUGUUAAUAUGUUUCAAGUUGAGGGUGAGCGAGUGUUCGCGCACCAACGCCUCCGUACAAUCGAAAAAUUUGGAGUUCCAACAUGUGAAUAGACCGCCCGAUGCUCCCAUUGCGGGAAUAAAGUGACAUCUGUCGAAACUCGAGCCGCAGCAAGACCGAAGAAAGGAACGAGACACCGAAUCCACUUUAGAUUCUUGGAUACAAACCACCGAGCAAUAGUGUUUAGAGAGAAUAGAUCUAACACUCCGACGCUUACAAGGGUCGUUCAGACCGCGAACAUUCCACGUAAUAAUAUUAAACAUAGGAAAAGCGACACACACCCAAAAAGCAGCCCAACCGCAGAUAAAGACCCACCCACUACAGGUCAACUCCGCAUCAUAAACUUGUGGAGCUCUUCGGCUUCCACCCCCGUAAGCUUGACCCCGCAUAGCGCACUUUUCUUCAAGACCUUUCUAAUGCUCCGUGAGCCUGCCGCGGACAUCGGCCCAGAGGUCUCCCCUUCCAGCAGUAAAGCCUUCCUCAUUAUCGCCCGAUCAAGCGCCGGAACGUUACCUACAGACUUCAGCCUCUCACAAGCUCUGAUCGACCCACGACGCACGCACUGGUCGACCGCCAAUCCACGACGCACGCACUGGGGAAUCCCAUCCGCCCCGGUCGCCUCACCGGUCAGGGGUACAAUAUUGGGGGCCAAGGUAUUAACCCCCGAUACGUUCCCCGUCGACGAACAGACGACCAAGUUGUCUGGCUUCAAAAAAAACUCCCCAACCAUUGAUCCGUGGAUCUCCUUCGCAGCGGGCAAGUGGGGAACGAAGCUUUCAGCACAGUGGGCAUGGAUCUCCUUCGCAGCGGGCAAGUGGGGAACGCAUCUGUCAGCACAGUGGGUGGGGGUGUUCCCCGGUGCGCGUUCCCGUCUUGCCGACCCAAGGCAGGCAGCCUCCACCUUCGGGUCGAUCUCCAGUCCACCUGCCGACCCGGCGGGAAUGUCGUCGCACAAGACGGGCUCCCCUCCUGUACCACUUGCACCUCCUGUACCUCCAGCCGACGGGCCCAGGGGAGAAGGGGGGCGUGCGGGGCCGAUCUCCAGUCCACCUGUCGGCCCGGCGGCAACGUCGCCGCAGAAGACGGGCUCCCCUCCUGCACCUCCUGCACCUCCAGCCGACGGGCUCAGGAGAGAAGGGGGGCGAGCGGGGCCGAUCUCCAGUCCACCUGCCGGCCCGGCGGCAACGUCGCCGCACAAGACGGGCUCCCCUCCUGCACCUCCUGCACCUCCAGCCGACGGGCCCAGUAGAAAAGGGGGGCAAGGGGGGCUCGGGCGACAGACCGUGGCAAGGGGGCCCGAGUGCUGAGGCGCUACAGCCAAAGAGAAACGCAACAUCCCUCCUGUUCCGGCGACAGAACUGUCCGUAGGCCCCCACGAAAAUCGAAAAAUGGCCCCAGCUCCGUGCAAGCCAAGUCGGCCUCUUCCCUGCGCGCCUGGCGUGGCCCGCAGAAAGAGACCAGAACCGAGCCCAUCUCCAAAACUGAGCCCAUCUGCUUCUGGGACCAAGCUGGCUCUCUGCAAGCACCUCCCCUCAAUAAAGUGUGGGGCCUGCGAAUCCGGGUCGGGCCCGAAAUCCCAAGCUCCUUGCGGGCCAAGUCGACCCCACCCUUCCGAGACUUGCGUGGCCCGCGGAGCAAGUCCGAUCUCGAGCCCCUUCCGAAGCCCGAGCCCAUGCGGUUCCGGGACCGAGUGGGCCCUCAGCUUGCUCCUCCCCUCACAGAAGUGAGUAGGCCGCGGAACAAGGCCGAGCCCGAUGCCAAGAGGUUUCGGGGUCAAGAGGGCCCGCUUCGCACAACAGCCGACACCCACCCCUGCCCGGAUCUCGAGGUGGAAGAGAAGAUCCCAUGCAUCAUGCUAGCUCGCUUUCCCCAGAUAUAGUAAUAAAUGCCUUGGUUCAUCUUUACGCUUCCCUUAGGCUCCGAAUUCGAAGCUUUGACAAAAGCAAAUCCUUUCGCCUUCGGAAAAUCGCCGCCCGCCGCCACGUCAGAUAUCACAUUAACUGCAACAUCAACAUUAGGCGAAUUCGAAAUCCCGACCGUUGGCCCUCUCGUUCCGACGAUCGCCGGGCCCAUCCAGGUUGUUUUCUCCAGACCCAGCCGUCGAGAGUCGGCCGGAGUGGGAGCAGAUUUCCCACGCAGCAAAGCGUCUGGAGCAAUAACAUCUCUCCUCCUGUCUCGAAUUUCUGACGAGUUCCAAGAUGCGUCCGUGCUAGAAGAUCCGCCAGCCGACGAUCGUCGCCCUCUAAUCGAUCCGGCUGAGUGGCGAUGAGCUUCUGGACGGCUCUGCGAGGGGUCGUGACGAUCGGUCCAUUCGUUCGGAGGAUUGCCAGGAUCGAUGACGUCGCGGCGGCCCCAUCUCUCAAGCUGGAUGAGCACCGAGAGCGAGUAAUCCCCUACUGUGAUUUCCAAGUUUUUCGGGAUGUCGGAGAGGAAAUUGACAGAGAUGAGACAUCGGUAUCCCGUGAGGUCCACCAUGCGUGUCGAGAAGUCGUCCGCCCGUAUGAAGCGACCGAAACCGUCGACCAACCCCGCCACCGUACGAGAGGACCAACAUUCAUAUGGCAAACAUACAAGCCGGAUCCAAACGUUGUACGUGAGCGAGGCCCUUCGUAGCCCAUGAUAGGGAUUCCAGGGGAAGCAGUGCAGUCUCAGGUUGUCCGGCGAUAGGCUCUCUCUUCGGAUCAGUUGAUCUGCCGGCACCCACUCCGGGAGGAAGAUCAGAAAGUCCCGCUGACUGAACUUGGCGACGUGAAAAUCGGUCGGGAAGCCACCAAAACGACUCGCCAACCUGUUGGCAAUCGUCUCUUGGGGGAAGUGACCAAGGUUCUUGGGGGGGAGUACGUCGACCAGAAUCGCGUUGCGGCAUCGAUUCUGCCUGGUGUAGAAGUCUUCUGUCUGAGGAACAAACGCACUUAGGUAGGACGGUCGGGCCCUCAUCUCCCUGUAAACCGCCAUUGGUAAACGGUCCAUGCAGGAUCUUGCGACGUGGCCCGUCUUGAAGCAGCGCACACACCGGAGUGGCCCUCGACAACUAGCCGCCCGAUGAUUAGUGCCCAGGCACCUAAAACACUUCCCCUUGAAGAAAGAUUUGGGCGGGAUCUUGGAGAGGGGAGUGAAGUUGGCACCCUGACUACGGCGAGUGGCUCGCAGAGGUGUGUGUAUGGGUGUAAGAAGAGCUUCCUUGUACGUCUUGUUAAAACCUGUAGGUAAGGAGGAUAAGUUCUUCCCGAAUCCUGUGUCAGGGCACCUUCUAUUGUUAAUCGACGACGCGUCAGUUGGUUGUGGUAUGGGAGUGGGGUCGUCAGGAAAACCGAGAGCGUUGUGAGUUAAUGCAAGCCCUACUUCGUCAGCCCAUAUCACCCUCUUGUUAAAUGCGGAUCCUCCUUCAGACCUAUGUAAUCCAGGGUAGGUGCCCUCAUUAACCCAAGGCUUCUUAACUAUUGCCUUCGAUCUCUCAGUCCUGCCAUAGGAAUGAACAGUCGCCGCUCUAGCUGAAGGGAUAGCCGACGACGACGAAGAGGUAGGUCUCCCGCGAGUACCCGUCACCGUCCGCCAUUGAGUAGAACAGGCCUGUCCUCCUAUCUUCUUGAAAUCCGUCUUCUCAUCCGUAAUCCGAUCUAUAACUAGCGUUUUGCCUUUUUCCUCUUCCUUACCAGCAGUCCGAUCAAAAACUCGCGCUUUGCCUUUUUCCUCAUCCUCGCCAGUCUUUUCCUUUUUCCGAUCACCACCAUCAUCCUCACCAGCCCUCUCUUUUCCUUUAACAGCCAAAGACUUGUUGGAGAGUAUGCGGAGCUUGCCGAGGCCUUUGUCCGUCAGAGGCCCCGCCACCACGCGGUCCCACAGCUUCUCCAGCACCGCCAUUCUCUUUGUUUAAGAUAGUAACACUAUAUGAGAAUUAAUAAAGCAGGAUAGAAAGGGCGCCACGUUUGGAUAGGAAUUAGUGGUGCAGAAUAUUUUAAACUCCAUUUUAAGUGCUUGGUCAACCAACCAUGUUCUUGUUUUUAAUCCUUCGCCGUUAACGUACUAACCUUGUUUCUUUGUCCCUUUUUAUGAUCCUUCCUUUGGGUUACAAUAAUUAAUGAAAAACCUAUGAAAAGCCUAUAAGAAUUGUCUACAUCUAGUAUGCAUGGUAUGACUAAGUGCAUGCCAUUUCCUGUACCCAAAGAUAUCCUCAAAUCUCUUCAUAUCUAGUUUCUGAGGAUGAUUCUAUUCUCCUUUUCUCUAAUUUGUGUGUUCUUGUCGGUUCAUGUAAUCAGAACCAACAUGCAUGGGGAGAGAAAAAUAUAUUUAUAUGUGGCAGACAAAUUUAUGUAAUAGGGUUUAAUUUAAAUUUUAUAUCUAGGCCGGCUCUCCAAAGAUUCUUAGCAAGUUAAGAACAAGCAAAUACAGAUAUAUAAAGAAAUUAAUGAAAGAGUUCGCAAUACAUUUUGUGGUGGCGGAGCAUGUCUUUUGCUCUACAGUUUGUUGGCUUAAACGGGUUAGUAUUUCUACCAUGUGGUGGGCAGCCAGGUUGGACCCAGCUAUGUUUAAAAUGGCCGGAGGUCGGAUUGGAUCGAGUCAUAUUCGAAAUGGCGUCGGACUGGUUGGGUCGAGUCACAUAGCGGAGCAUGUCUCGUGGAUGGCGGAGCAUGUCUCGUGGAUGUUUUGUCUGGACAAUUUAAAUGAAUUGGUUGUAUUUUUUUAAUGGUUCGGGUUUUUAGAAUUAAUGAUUAGUGUUAGCCACAAUCGACUCUUGUAGGCGCUAUGUUUGUACGUUUUAAGUUAAUUGAUCGUAUCUUUCUAACAACUCGAGCUUUUGACAUUAAUGAGUAGUGUUAACGAUUCAACACUCAAAUUCUCUGUCUAUAUAUAUGGAAUUGAGCUUUUAUACUUUUAAAAAUAUUAAAUUAUUGGUGCUUAUAAGUUUUCAGCCCUUGGAUUAAGGGAUGUGCAUUUAUGAUGAUAGUGAUCGCCUAGAGUUGAGUGGGUGGUUGGUUGAAUAGUAUGAUCUAACAGAUAGAAAUGGUCAAAAGGGUAGCUUUGACCGCCAAAAGUUUUAUAAGCACCAAGUGUUUGGUGCUUUUACAAAGCACUAUAACUGGACUCUUAUGUAUAUUUAUUUACAAGAUUUUUUUUCUUUUGCUUAGCCUAAGUAGACCAUUAACCUUUUAGAUAUUGCUUGUGUAGGUAUACGAGUUAUGACUGUGUACUUUUCUUUUCUCUUUCCAUCAAUAAAUUGUAUAAAAAAUCACCUUAAGUUUUACAUUAAAAAAAACAAAAAAAAGUCUUAAAAAACCAAUUUAUUCCAAAUGCUAAUUAGAGCUUUCACAAUGAUGGUGGGUGUUGGAUCUUAAUGUAAUUUUGAGCUAAUAGAUACGAGUAAGCUCCUACAAACUUUUAUUGGGUUUUGGUAAAUAAAUAAGCUUAUAAAUUAAUUAUUCAUUUGAGAAGAGAACAUUCGAUCUAGUUUCUUCACUAACCCUUCCUGUCACCACCUCCUCAUGAAUCAAUAAUCCUACUCCAAAUGCCUGGUUCCUUUUGGGCUAUUUUUUUAAAACGUCACUGUUGAGAAGGACCAAUUGUUAUGAAUUAAGUAAAGAGAAACAUGUAUGCAUCAUUUGUUUACGUGUCUAGCCUAGGUGAGUUUGCUGGGGAUGGGAUUUACUUGAAGAAAUGAAAGAGGUGUACGAGGACUCGCGCACUUUUUUGCCACGCAAAUUGGGUUUUGUGUUUUAGCCACGUGGUCGUAAUUAAGCUUCUGUCAUUGAAGAGCUAUAUAUUUAGCCACACGUACAGUUUUGGUUGUAUGUACAUUUGAAUUUACUACUCGAACUUAUUGUUGCGAUGUAGAUUUAAUCAGUUGUUUGUACGUUUGAAUUUAUGAUUAUUUUGAGUUACUACACCAACGUCCAAUUGUUGUAGUUGAAACAAUAAGCAAAAUGUCUAACUACGUACCACAGUCACAAACAAAUCAAACGCAUGCAGUCCCAAUUCAUGUAAUGUAAGAGACAGGGGGAGGGGAGUGAAAGAGUGAGCAUUAAUUGUUACAUGAGAUAGAGAGAUAGGAAGGUACAUAAGGGGGUACUCGCCUCUCUAAUAUAAGGGGGUAUAUCCUAUUGAAGACACUCUCAGAUCCGGUAUUUCUAAUAGAGCAAUCCGCUGCUAGGAAUAUGGUUCAAAGGGGCUGUGAAACAACCGUUGUACUUUAAAAACUUAACCUGUUAGAGAACGAUAUUUAAAUAUUUUUAUAUUUAACACUCCUCCUCACGUCUGGGCUCACUUUUUAGUCGGUCUAUGAUGUGGGCUUGAAUUAAAUGGGAGGAAAUUAAUAUGCUAGUUGUCUGGUGUGACUCGAACUCAGGACCUCCUGUUUUGAUACCACGUGAAACAGCCGUUGUACUCUAAAAGCUUAAGCUGUCACAGAAGGGUGUUUAAACAUUUUUAUAUUUAACGGGGGUUUAUUCAGGAACAUUAGUUCUUAUAUAAAAUAAUAAAAUUUGUAAGUGCAUUUUCCAACUAUAUUGAAACAAACAAAAAUAUAUAGUUUUGGUCCACUCAACUUCGGUCAACCAAAUAUAGUUGUAACUACUGAAGUCCCAAGUUUGAAAUCUAGUUACUUCACAUUAAUAGUUUAGUUUAUUUUUAAAAAUGAAUGAAGCAUAUAAUAUGAUAUCUUUACAUUUUAGAAAAAUUAAAUCGCAUUUAGAAAAUAUAUGGAACCGUAAGUUAAUUUGAAAUACAAUGUAGAUGAGCUUUACCUACAAGGCACGAGUGCCAUUAUUUAGGGUUCUACCAUGCACAACGAUCGAUUGCAUAUUCUGGGGAGGUACUGGCAUUUGGUGUGGCUACCAACCACUUCUGUGUAAGGUUCAGAUGAGAAAAUACUAAUUCCUUCAUUCUUGGAAUGGUAAUUCCAAGUAUGGGUGAUGUCACGACUAUAGUGUAAAUCUUGUACUCAUCUAUCUAAGGAUUUUAUUUUAUUUUUUGUUGAUUCUGGUAUUUAAAGAAAAGAAUUGAUAAGACUAGUAAAAAAGAAAUAUUAACUCUUUGACAUAUAGUUAGAUAGAUAUGGCGCAAGAUUUACGCCCACUCUUUGACAUAUAGUUCUUUACACUACUUCUAAGCAAAAAAUGUCGAAAAAUGAUACCUAAAGUUGAAGUUUUUGUUUGGAUAAUUUUUACUUGUUCAGAAAUAAAAAUAAUCAAAUAGAACAUUGACUUAAGGGCUCGAAUAUAUAGCGAUAACUGUACUACAAUUUUAACUGCAUACAGAUAGAAUACAGAUAGAAUUAUAUAGUGUUUGGUUUGUUUGAUUUAAAUUGCAUUGAAGGAAGAAAAGAGUCUUUCGUCUCCCGCUCCACUUACUUGGAGGAUCAGGGCGGAUACGGAGCAGGUUAUAUAUUUUUUUAUAUUUUUUGUUCUCAUUUAUCGUCUCAUUUGGGACGGAUCGGGGUGGAAGCUCCACCAACCUGGAUCCAUUUGCAUCCCUACUUUCGCUAGAGAUUUAAACUGUAUCUCAUGUUUUGAGAAUUGAUUACCUGAUAGAGAGAAAAACCAAAUUAGGAGGCACACCUGCGAGCUGAUGAUGACCUACGGAUUUGAUAAAACAAAUUAAUUGCUGCUACUCUUCCGCAUUAUUGGUCUCAUUAUCUUAGUUUUACCUAUCCUUGCACUUCUUCCUUUCACAGGUGUCUUGCUUCCAUAGUUUUUGAUUUUUUUUUUUCAUUUUUUUUUUUGAACUACUUUUGUUUCUCUGUUGACUCUGCAAUAUUCUACUCCAGGUGAUACCCUUAGAAGGAUAAUUAGGUUAUCUAAUGCCAAUUAUUUUCUGAUCCCAUAGGCCACUGUUUUUUGUACCUAUAUAUGGCCCAUAAUUAAAUGCAUAGUUGGUUAGUGUGACUCAUAUAACUCAUCUGAAAUAAAGUGUUUCCCUGUCACUCUUGUGAGGGCUUAGCCCCCUGUGCCCUAGCCCCUACUAAAUACACUGUUUCUUUUUCCUUUUUGAGUACAUAAAAGCAGUUGGAUGUCUUAUUAUUGCCCAACCAUUGCUAACCUAAAAGAUCAUGUAAAUGGCACUCACAAGAUUGUCUAAAAAAGAUGGCUUGGUUGUUUAUUUCUUCUCCUAUUCACUAUAGNAAAAAAAAAAAAAAAAAAAAAAAAAAUCCUCUGAUCUUAUCUUAUUUUAUUUCCAACAAAUGCGACGUGUUCAGUUGACGCCCUAUCAAAUUUCAACUACUGUAUUACUUUCGAGAAGCAUCGAGAAGUAGCAAGUGACACUUUUUUUUUUUUUCCUUUUUUUUUUUUAAACUCUUUUUGGAUCUAAAACUACGUGUGGAGGCUAUUGGUUGUGUUUCGCUUUUUAAUCUCUUUUCGCUGGAUUGUGACAACACCGCACGGGGAACUCGUGUGAUUGUGAAAUGUGGAUGAGAUGCUUCACCUGCUGGGCACAAAUGUUUUUUUUUUUUUUUAAAGCUUAAAAAAUAAAUUUAUUUGCAAAAUUUGAAUCAAUGAGAAUUCGAAUUUGAAAUCUUAAGUAUCAAUCAUUAACCAUUUUGCCACUUGUAUAGGGAUAAUUGGAGCUGUGUACAAUUGUUAGCUGAAACAGAACUCGGUUGGAUCUUAGAAGCUCCCAUUUGUAUAAAAUACUGUAUACGUAGUAUCAAGGCCUUGGGUACUGAUCGUCUAUAGCGCAAGUAACAAAGAGCUUGCUUGUUAGUACCUAAGGUUCUAAUUUUCAAACUUAGUUGCUUUAUAUUUUUAGCUAAAUUUAUUUUUUAAAAAAAAAUUAAAUAAAGCGAAUAGCAUACUAUUUUUCACUCAAACGAAAAAAAAAAAAAAAAUAACGGAAAUGUCGAGCUUAACUUGGAGUGUUGAUUUUAGAAUUUGGCACAGGAGAACACUAGUUGGAGCACAUAUACAUGGGCUUGGACCUAUGUUUCGUUUAUUAGCUAAUAGGCUUGGGCCUCAAUUUACCACGCCGUACUCGGGCUUCGCUUUUGCCUUUGAAUGCUUUGGACCAUGUUUGGUUUUUUAAUUUAAUUUAAUUUUAUUAUAUUCCCUUUUUUGCUACUCAUUUGGGGUGUGAGUGGUUAGUGGAUUAACAAUCAUCAAGAAUCAUUUAAUUUAGGAAAAGUUUCAAAUACCAGUGAUUUCGCAUUUUAUUUUAGCACCUUAUGAUUUAAAGUGUAUAAAUUUAGUACCUGUGAUUUUAUUUUUUAUUUUUAUUAUUUUAUUCAUUAAUUUUUUUUAUUAAAUCAGUCACAAGGUUAGAAUUAAAAGGUACUAAAAUGAAUAUUUGAUAAACCUAAGUGGGGUAUCUAAAGUUUUUUUAUAUAUAAUUUAACGAAAUGUUAACAAAGGAGAUAACGAAAAAAUAAAAAUAAAAUCACAGAAUACUAAAUUGAUACACUUUAAAUUAUAAAAUGCUAGAGUAAGAAAAUAUAAAAUCAGUGGGAUGGUAUUUGAAGUUCGUCUUUUAAUUUAAUAACAUGUAUUUCGUAAAGCUAUGGAAGAACUAGCCUUGCGCUUGUGGUCUAUUUCGAAAUGACUAUCAACUUUUAUGUCUGUAAACCCUAAAAAUGUCUGUAAAAGCAAGCGAGAAGGUGGUCUAGGCAUUCUGGAUGUAGGGGCCAUGAACUGUGCCCUUCUGACCAAAUGGUGGUGGAAGUUUCAAGAGGCACCACAUCUACAGUGGAAUAAGAUAAUCCAAGAUCUCUACUACAUAAGGAGAAAACCUUUGAUGGAAGGCAGGUCAUUUAGGCCCCAGUCCCAUUGGUGGAAGGGAGUACUUAGCCUCAAAGCCAUUUUCAAAUAGGGAUCCACCUACAAACUAGGCAAUGGAAACUCUAUCGACUUUUGGCUUGACCGCUGGUGUGGGAAAACCACACUAGGCAGCGCGUUCCCGAAGAUCUACCAGAUAUCUAACAGAAGAUAUCUGAAGGUCAGCGAGGUCUUAACAAGUGACGGUUGGAACUGGAAUGGGAUUUUCGGCACUGACCCUGAAAUUUUAAUAGGGCUCGAAGACGACAUUGCAGAGCUGAAGGAUAGGUUAUCACAUUUUUAUCUUGGCCAAAGUCCGGACCAGAUAUUUUGGCGGUGGAGUUCAAAUAGGCUAUUCUCGGUGAAAUCGACUUAUCUAGCGCUAACCGACGGGGGAACAAGGGAUCCGGGUCUUAACGAGAUCUGGGGACUCCAUAUUCCUCUUAAAGUCAAAGUAUUCUGUUGGCUCGCUCUUAAGAAGAGGCUCCCCACAACCGACUUACUGGCGAAGCGUGGCUGGGUCGGAAAUACCGUUUGUGUACUUUGCGGAGUGGAAGACGAAUCCGUCGAUCACCUGUUCACGAGGUGUGUAUUUACUAAGUUCAUUAUUGUGAUGGAAGUGACCGGUAUACAGGUGACAGACCUGGAUAAUGAUGUAAUUCGGGUUUGGGAAAUGUGGAGGUUAAGGAAAGGUGGACCCAAGACGAGAAGCACCCUCUCCGUAUUAGUAGGAUGCUGGUGGUCCAUCUGGUUGGCAAGGAAUGAUACGAUUUUUAGAGGUGUUCAACUGAACCCUUCGAACAUAACUCGCAAAGUUAAGCAGCUGUUGAAGGAUUGGGGCCUCCUUAUCCCAGUAAGGCGGAUCGUUUAAUCUGUAGUUUUUUUUUUUUUUUUUUUUUUUCGCCCCCCAGAGGCCUUAGCUGCCUCAUCCCUAUAGCCUAGUUCAUAUUCCUAAUGAAUGAAGCGGAUAACGUGCUAACUUUUUCUCAAAAAAAAAACUUUUGAGGAUUUUGAUUUAAUUAUCUAACGUUCAAACUAAUUAAAUUUUAUGCAAAUUAAUGGCUCUCCGUUAUAUAAUUUGGGUAGGGUGUCCACUUUAAUAGAAAUGUAAUCAUAUAAUACUAGUGAAGUGACCCGCGCUUUGCGGCGGAUAAAUACUACUAAAAUUAAAAUUAAUAAAUAAUAAAAUAUCAAUAUAAUUAAAAAAAUAUUAAUAAAGAACAAAAUAUCAUCAAAUCAAUAUGAUCUUACUCCGUAAGAGACUACCCACUGCUGACAGACUGCUUAGUCGUGGGAUGCAGAUCGACGAUCACUGCAUUUACUGUGCUUUUGCCUUGGAAAGCUGCGAUCAUCUCUUCACCAACUGCAUCGUCACGCGAUUCUUACUCUUUGAGGCGGGGGUACUUGCCGACGAUACUGACUGUGUCCGGGCCCUUUGGACCUCUACAACAGCAAUUACCGGCACUGCUCAAAGAACCAAGGCCUUAACUUUCCUGGCGGCUACUUGGUGGGUUGUCUGGAUGGAAAGAAACAACCUCAUUUUCAGAACAAAGACUCCUAAUGCCACCCCAGCUCUGGAGCGGGCUUCUCUUCUUACAAAUUUGUGGUCUGAUUCUCCGAUGUUACCCUCCGCGCACCACCUUUUUUAAUCCUUUCUCAUUUUUUUCCUUUUUUUUCUUUUCUUUUCGUCUUUUUACUGUUUUCUUUUUUUUCUUGUUUUGUUUCUGUUCUUGCUUUUCUUUUGCCCCGGAAGCCCUGGCUGCUUCCAUAUUGUUCGCCUAGUUCACUUAUCAAUGAAUGAAACAGGUAGCUAGUCUACCUCUUUCUCAAAAAAAAAAAAAAAACUAUCUGAUGUAACACGGAGAUUAUUACUGGAAACGGGUCCUAAUUAGUAUCUCGUACUUGUAGUAAAAACACAAAAAUUAGAUGUUAAUUUUAGGAAUUUGCUUGUAAUAGUUUAGUUUAGAAUAAUUAAUACAAGGCUAGUAGGUUGAAAUAUUUUUCCAAAUUUUCCAAUGUUGGGCACACGAAAUAUUGAAAUUUUGGCAUCUAAUUUAGUCAAAUUGAGGGGUAUUGACUCAAAAAUUAAUGAAGGUUUUGCCUAAUCUUAUCUAUGCAUGAUAGUAGAGCUAGCAUGAUAAUGGGGCUUACGCUGUGUUUAAUUUGGANUAAAAAAAAAAAAAAAGUAAUAAUAAUAUAGAGAAUUAUACUUUAAAAUAAUUUUAAUAUACAUGAUUUAAAUAGACAAUAAAUAGAAAAAAGCAAUGAAUGCCAAGAAAGUAAACUAAGGAAAAAAAAGAGGAAGAUACAAUAUGUGGAGUAAACAUCAUAGCCACAAUUGUUCAAAGCAUUUUUAUAAUUAUCUCACUAAAAAGAUUCGCACAUGAAGAACAUAAUAAACAACAACUUUUAUUGUACUUUUAUAUAUAUACUAGUGAAAUAACCCGCGCGAUGCAACGAGUAAAUAAUAAUAAAAAAAUUAUAGAAGAAAUAAAAAUAUAGAAAUAUAAAUAUUUCAUGAUUGUUAAGAAUGGGACAGACAGCGAUGGCAGCAUACGCCAUCCUUUUUGAGGAUGCAUGAGGAACAACGGAUGAGGGCCGAAGGGCUCCGAGUAGCAAGCAAGAGGAAAAGGAGGAGAGAAAAAGAAAUUCCAAAAUCAUGGGGGGAGAGAUAUAAAACCUUCAAUCCAAACCGCUCUGUAGAUGAGAUGAGGGAAAAGAGGGAUGCCACUAUCGGUUUGGAAAAUAAAAAAAAGUAAGAAUUUGGGAAAUAAAAAAAAGUAAGAGAUAUGAGAAAAAAAAAAAGAGAGAGAGAGAAAGAAAGUUAAAUGAUGUGGAUAUAAAGGGGAUGAAGGAUUUUACUCAGAUAAAAAAGAAUAGAGAAAAAUUUAAAAUAAAUAGUGGGUCCCACCGUCCUCAAAUUAAGGUGGUGCAUCCACGUUGGAUUUCACCAUGAGAAAUCAUGUAUUGGUAUAGAUAGAUAUGUAUGUAUAUAUAUAUAUAUAUAUAUAUAUAUAUAUAUAUAUAUAUAUAUAUAGAAUUUGAUACUUACUAUCAAUAGCUACAAGCCUUUGAUACUAUGAGUUUUCGGCGUGGAUGAAUAAUGCGUGGUAGGGAUGAUAGUAGUCCACGGAUUAAAUGAUAGUGGUCCCACUAGCGGUUGAGUGACGGUGGUUGGUUUAAUUGUAUAAUCUAAUGGGUAGAAAUAAUCAAAGGGUAGAUCUAACGGGUAGAAAAACUCAAUAGUAUAAAGGGUUUGUACUAUCGAUAGUAUAGUAGCCGGAUUAUAUAUAUAUAUAUAUAUAUAUAUAUAUAUAUAUAUUCCUCUAAAUAGAGAGAGAGAGAUUUGGAGAGGGGUGGAAGUCGACAACACCGAUGCCAUCGCCGGCCUUAUCAACAACGUGUAUGAUGUAAUGGAGGGGGGUCAAAGGGCAUCAUCGAUUAUGCUUAUGGCAUUCGGAAAGCAAAUAGUACACGUUUUAAACUUUGGGAAAGAAGAAGGUGAAUUGGAAGGAUGCCUUAUGAAAAGGCAUGGCAUUCUCGUUUUCCCCACUAUUACUCUAUUAAAUAAAAAAGUGAGGAGAUUAUUCUAUUAAAUGGAAAGAUAAAUGCCAUUACUCUAUUUAAAUGGAAAGGUGAGGAGAUUAUUAGAUUAAAUGAAAAUGAAAAUGGAAGAUGAAAAGAUUAGUCUAUUAAAUGAGAAAGUAAAUGGGAAGAUGAAGAGACGACAUUGGGAGAUAAAUCGGAUAUAUGAGAGGAAGUAUCUAGUAGAAGUGGACCUAAUAUUCAAUAGAAAGGAUGGAGGAAGUGAUAAUAACGCUGGUAGUUAGGUAGGCCCAAAUUCAACAGAAUUCUGCCACGUCGGAUAGAAGCCACGGGAAUUAAUAGUUUUGUAUAGUUAAUGCUCAUAAAUUCUGUUAAAAAGUAUUGAUCAUUAAUUAUCUCAAAACCAAUCAUAAUUUACCUAUUCACUUGUAUAUAUAUAUAUAUAGGACAUUAGUAUAUUAGUAUAUAAUAUUAUAUUUAAUAUUUAAUAGUAUCGAUUCCUUAAAAUUAAAAUAGAAACACAAAUUACUUAUGUACUUUGGGAGCAUUUGCAACUAACUUUAAUAAUGAGAUAUAUUAGAAUUUAAGGUAGAUUCCAGAUGUUAACGAUUCAGCUUUGAAGUCAACACUGAGAUCUAAACUCUUAUUAGUACAAUACUUUAUUAUCUUUUAUUCGGAACCUAUACACAUCCUUAUAAUACUGCUACAAAUUAAUUAACAUUAUUAUCUAACUAAUCGUAAUUAUUAUUAUUUUUAUUAUUUUAUAAUUUUAUUAUAAUAUUAAUUACGGAAUGGCGGAGCUUACGUGGCACCGCCAAAACAGAAGAUGAGAGUUUCACGCGACGCAGCACGUGUUACGGUCUUAUCACCGUCCGUUCUUCAACGUAUGAUCUUAACCGUGAGUCCCUGUGCUCCGGAGCUACUUGUUUGCUCGAGAUAUUAUUUUGUGCACCUGGUCCAUAAAGUUUUUAAGCUAGAGCGUUACAUAUUUAUUAAUAUUUAAAAUAAUAAUCAUAGUUAUAACUGCCACCAAAAAAAGUAUUCAUAUUUAGAUUUGAAAGUAUAAGAGUAAGUACAAUUGAAUAUAUAAUCCGAGCCUGGUCCUCAAUCUCAAAUGUAUCAAUCUAAAAUUAAAAUUUAAUUCAUUAUAUAUCAUUCUAUUGAAUAGUAAAAUUUUAUAUAUUAAAAAUUAUAAACUACGAUAUUUAUUUCUUUUGAAUUAAAUAAAAUAUAUUGUUGGCUUUUAUAAUUUAUUUGAUUUGAUACCUGCUUAAUAAUAUUUUUUAAUAUUUUUUUUUAUAUAUAGGUCUUUUGAAUAUGAUUAUUUAUAUUUAUCGUCUGAACGCUUUAAUUUUUUUAAAACAUUAAUCACGAAAAAUUGAGCAUGGUGUACGAGAUGUAUGGAUACACCCGGUUCAGGCAAGUUCUUGGCAGCUAGGGAAGAGGGCGAUGGCAUAUUCGUGAUUAAUGGGGAAAGUAAGACUCUUUUUUUAAGAGCCCAGUGCAAAAUAUCAUUCGAAUCUGCUUCUCACGCUAAUCUCCCUCCCCUCCUCGCCCACCAUUCUGUUUCUGCUCUCCCUCUCUGGUGCAACACGACACCGUGGGUGGGCCCCAAUCGCUAUCUCCAUGCACCUCUCGCCCCACACGUGUCACCCCCCGACCCCUCAACGAUCACACUCCUCGCGCAUUGUGUGACCCCUCUCUCUCUCUCUCUCUCUAAUAACUCGAAUACGCUGGCGCGCGCACACUCUCUCUGUUAGAUCGAGAACGAGAACGAACCUCGUCGAUAUCGCACUCGUCUCCUCUCCUCUCCUCCGUCCAAAACCCUAGGGAUCGGACGAGGCGGAGGUCGCCGCGAUCUCCAUAGAUGUCGUUUGCGCUCUCCGGGAUCCGCUUCCCCGCCGCCGUGCGAGGCACGGGGCUCGCAGCUCGAUCCGGGGCCAAUGGCGAUCGGAGGAGCGGGGUCGAUCUCUCGCUGAUGCUGCUGAGGAAGGAGACUUUUAAACCGCGUAAGCUCUCUCAAUCCGUGCCUCCUUCGUGAUAGCGCGCUGUGGUUUCUCCUCUCCGUUCUCUUCUAAAGGAUCGGGAGGCGAAUGCUUUAUCUUAGCAACGAUCCUCUAAGCGAGAGUUUUGUUGUUGGUCGUGAUUUUGCUAUUCGUCGCGCUCUUCCUCUCUCUGUAGGUCCUGAUUUAUGAUUAUGGUGAUCUCGGUAGGGGUGUUGCUUUGCUCUCUGAACGCAGCUUGUUGUGCUUAGAUUUUGUAGUGCGAGAUGUCGAUAUGACAGUACAGAGUGGAAAGUGGUUGAAGAAGAUGAAGAGAAUUGUGGCGGUGGAUUUGGAUGUGUUUUGUUUCUUCAGGUUUUGCUUCCCUCGAUCUGUUUACUGUGUUGGCAAUUUGAAAUUUUGAACACAGGGACGCUUUGUUGUUGUGAAGAUAAGAGGUCGUGCAGUGGUGAAUUUAACUGCUUGAGAACUCCUUACUGUCGAGGCUUGAUUGAGCUGAGUUGCCUCCACAAAGCCAUAAUGCUACAGUUAUGCUGUGGAAUUAAAAUGCUAUUGCAGAAAUGUGGUCAUUUUUCCUUUAGCUGGAGAGUGAAUCCAAAUAUAGACUAACCAUGUUCCUUUUGAGAACACCCAUAUCUCAAUUAAUUCGUUUGUAGAUGCACUUACAUAAUUCUGUUUGCAUAUAUUCCUAUCUCGAUUUUCAUCGGUAUGAGCGUAAAGUUUCCAAUUGUUUACUGCUUGUUUGUCCUUUCUUUAGGGAGCAUUUUUGGUGGAAGUUCUAUUGAUUGCCUUUCUUCAUCUGUGACUGUUGCUGCAUCUGGAAAGGUGCUGAUUCCAGGCGGCCAAAGUGACGGCUUAUCAUCUUCUGCAGAUUCAGUUGCAGAUGAACAAGCAUCUGAUGAUUUGCAGGUACAAGCUAGCAAUGUAACUAUAUUUGUUUUGGAUUUCUGAUUUUAUGAAGGGCAGGUCUUGCCUAGUUAACUAGCGUACAGGCGACUCUGUUCUUCUUUUUCAGAUAUCACUCCAAAGUACUAUACAUAUAUCCUUUCCUCAUAUAGCUUCUCAGAGGCUUUUAACUGUCAAGAAAUUUGUGUACUCUCAAGCAAGUGUGUUUUUGUUUUACGAUAUCCUUUCCCAUGACUGGCUUAUAUUUGUUGCUUAGGUAUUACAGGAGGAACCUGUUGACACUGUGGAAGUCAUGUAUGAGGGAAGCAUGAAGGAAGGAGGCAAAGAGAGUGUUACUUCUCAAGCCAAGAACAGUGUUGAGGUAGUAGAGGAGAAGCCAAGAUCUAUUCCACCACCCGGUAACGGACAAAGAAUCUAUGAUAUCGAUCCAUUAUUGCGAGGUCACCAUGCACAUCUCGAUUAUCGGUAGGUUGCUUGUUGCUCGAAUGUUUUCGAUACAACAGCCUAUUUCUGCAUGAUAAAGAGAUUAUUCUCAAACUAUGUGGAUAAAUUGAUUGAAGUAAAGAGAGCUAAAGGUACUGCUUGAUGAGUGCAAAAUAAGAACCAACUAAAGUAAUAUUGGGACUCCUGCUCCCAUGUACCAAAGUACAUAAGUUCAUCAAAGUAAGCAAGGCCGCAAACUAACUAGGAAAGUCGAAGUUUAAAAAUUAAAAAAAUUGGAGAUAGACACUUGUAAGCACAAAAAUGUAAGAGAUCGUUCUUUGUAAAUAAUAUAGUUCUUAGGAUGAAAUUAGUUGUAUGAAUCGUGCAGUAUAUUACUUGAUGUAAUGUAGCCGAGUGAUUGUAUAAUGUAUAGAGGUAAGUAUGAGUAAUAUAGUUUAAGGCCAUAAAAUUGUAUGUUCCCCAAUUUGUGUUGUAUGAAGAGAUAAAUUUGCUAAAACAUAUAAAGUGCAGACUAACUUGUUUUCUACUUCCCCAAUUAAUACUCUUCUCUUUCAUUAGCACAUUUUACAUUGUUAAGAAAAUUUGAUGUCAAUUGUAUGUUUACUGGUUACAAACAGAUACAGUCAAUACAGGAAAAUGCGUGCGCUCAUUGAUCAAAAUGAAGGUGGCUUGGAACUUUUUUCUCGUGGUUAUGAAAAUUUUGGUUUUCACCGCAGGUUAGCUUUCUUUUCUUUCUCUGCAUUGCGACAUGUCAUUUAAUCUUCCUUUUGAAUAAGUUGCUGUAAUCCAUGAACCUGUUCUUAGGUUCUCAUCACUAAUAGUAGUAGAAUCUAUUGUCGAAAGACAGUUUGAAGCCUUCUUUAACUCUAUCAAUAGAAAUAUUUGGCGGACAUGCUGAAAAUCUCUUAGAUUCAGCACCUGUCAUUCAGUCUUAUGAAGAACUGAUCCUUUACAGAAAAUAAUAUGCAUGCUUUCUUGCAUAUCCUGACCUUACACGUCCAUGUUACUUUUUAAUUUGUCAAUUUUAUUCUAUAAUUGAUCAUAGAUAAAACAGAUAAGAGUUUCUUGCAAGGAAACUAUGAAGAAGCAUUAGCUAAUUUUUUAACAUCCAAAUUUUCUUGCCUGAAUGUGUUGUACUGAAUUGCAUGAUAUUGGUUUUUUGUUGCUAAUUCAUUAAUAUACGUUAUCUAAUCAUGUUUCUUUUUUAAUUAGAUUUGAGCCAUCGGGCAUGAUGAUUUCAUUUAUUAUUAGUAACAGUGAAUUCUUGGUAUACACCAUAUAAAAUGUUUAGUAGUUGUUUGAUGCUUGUAAGAAGCAUGUAACUCCACUUAUUUUACUUAUUUAUUUUUUCGCCAGUGCGGAUGGUAUUGUGUAUCGAGAAUGGGCUCCUGGAGCAAAGGUGUGUUCUUUUCAUAAUUCACUGAUAAAGAUUGGUUGGAUGACUUAUACAUGACCUCUCAUUUCCGCAGUUUACUUUCUUAUUGUAGUUUGAAUAGGUUGUUUUAGCUCUAUAUCUUUUCAUGCCUCAUGAUGUUUAUGUUACAAUGAGCUAUAUGUUGCCUUAGAUUUCCUACAUAAGCCAGCUGCUUGGACUAACCAUUUUAUUCUGUUUUCAGGCUGCAGCAUUAAUAGGAGAUUUUAACAACUGGAAUCCAAAUGCAGACGUUAUGACCCGAGUAUGUCGUUCUAGCUUGGAUGUAUUUGUCUAUGCUUUCUUUAUGUCAGCUGUAGAUUAAUCUAUUACUUGUUUUACUGAACUUAUCCAUAGUAAAUAGGUUUUCAGUUCUUGCUUAUAUGGCUGAGCCACUGCAUUUUUCUGUAUAUUGAAUAGGCUGAGAAAAUAAAUUUCUAAGACGACCUUCAGAAACUGUAAAAUGUGCAAAUAUAAACCUUCAAAAAGCUCUGAAGGUGCUUAUUUUCUCAUCUGGAGCAUUGAGAGUUACUUACUACCUUCAUAAUUGGAUGUCAUUCUCUAAAAAUAAAGUAUUUUUCGUCUUUAAUGUAACUCGCAUUGCUGACUAACUUGCAUCUCAUCAGCAUCAGCAUCUUCAAAUACCUAAUAAUUAUUAUUUUCAGAAUGAGUUUGGUGUGUGGGAGAUUUUUCUGCCUAACAAUGCUGAUGGCUCGCCACCUAUUCCUCAUGGCUCACGUGUAAAGGUACUUUCUCUCAUGGAAUUUAAAUGUAUUUGCAGUGAUUAGCAAAUAUCAUGAUGCACACACAGUUGUGUUGGCAAUCACGUGUACUUUAUAUAUUGAAACCAUAAAAAAUGUGUUUUUAUUUGUUGGCAUAUAUUGCAGAUAUUCUAACCCAUGUAUAACUCUCACUUAGAUACACAUGGAUACUCCAUCUGGUGUCAAAGAUUCAAUUCCUGCAUGGAUAAAGUUUUCUGUACAGGCUCCAGGUGAAAUACCGUAUAAUGGGAUUUAUUAUGAUCCUCCUGAGGAGGUAAUCUUACUAUAUCUUUCCUGCAAUUUUUUAAGGAGAAAAAAAUUGUUGAUGUGAUUGCGCAUUAGUAUUGCUACUAUAGGUUAAUACAUACUCAUUUUCUGCUACAUUACAUCUCUCUUCCAAAUGUAAACUUGUGCUAAGGUGUUUUGGUUGAUUCUGCAGGAAAAGUAUGUAUUUCAACACCCUCAACCCAAGGCUCCAAAGUCAUUGCGAAUUUAUGAAUCUCACGUUGGAAUGAGUAGUCCGGUAUUGCAGUCUUUCCUUUCGAUUCUCAAUGAUAAUUUGCAGAAAUCAUUUCCUUCUUUUGUUGAGAACUGUGAUGAUUUUACUUGUUUUAGUCCUUCUGCGCUUCUUUACACUGUUUGAAAGGCUACAUAAAUGAAUCAUAAAGUUCUACCUGUGUUAUUUUACUAUGUCUUCUAAUAGUGCUAACUUGAGAAAAUUUUGUUCAUUCAAACUUUUUUCUCCUCUAUCUAUUCUUUUGCACAAAUAAAAUACAAACCAAGGAUUUAACUACUGUAGGACGUCAUCGUGCGGAAAACUUGCUGACACGGUAUGACAUGGUGCAUGUCGUAUUGUGCCGAUGCAUGCCGGUCACAGAAAAUACACGUGUGCCGACACAAUGGCAUGAAAUAUUUAUUUUCUUUGGCAUCAAUAUAUUCUAAUUGCUUAUUUAUAUAUCUUUAUCAAAUCUUUUGCAAUUUAUUGAGAUAACAACUUGCUAACUUUUUUAAAAAAAGAGGGUUUUUUGCUAUGCCAUCUGCAUAGGGACUAUAUUGUGUCGAUAUCUUGCUGACAUGGUACGGCACGAUGGCAUGGCCCGUGGCAAUGGGCACUUGAAUCCUUGAUGCAAAUGUUGCCAAAGUUAGCUAAACAAAUCUCAUUAUUGUGCAAAUUCCUUGUUUUUUCCUAAUACUAUUUUCCUAUAACAUGAUUACAUGUCUAGAUUUCAGGAGUUGUCUUUACUGCUCGUUAUGUGUUUACUGCUAGUUAUCUAAUCUACAGUCUAAAUUGCAGGAGCCCAAGAUCAACACAUAUGCUAGCUUUAGGGAUGAUGUACUACCUCGAAUUAAAAAGCUUGGAUACAAUGCUGUACAGAUAAUGGCAAUUCAAGAGCAUUCAUACUAUGCGAGCUUUGGGUAAUUUCAGUUCUCCAUCUUUCUUUUGUUGUUGUGUUGUUUCUUUGGCUUUUGGAUUGGUGCUUAAAUGCAGAAGACAGUAAUUAUCACAUCUUCUCAUGUUUACGUUGGUCUAUAACUGCAAUUUCAUGCCUAGCUGAUGCAUGUAAUGUCUUAUCUAGGGGCGGAACUCGAUCAUCUUCCUUUUUACUUUUCUCCCUGGAUCCUCUUUCAGUUUGAUUACCCUGGAUAGAGGCACUUAGUUUUUGGCAAAUAUUUAGCUAGUUUGCCCUGGAUAAAAUAUCGGCCUUAUACUUCUUGUUGAUUAAUUGCUAUAGAUACUGGAGAAUCAGCUUAUGUUUUGUCUGGUUGUCAGACAUGGGAAUCAUAUGCUAAUAAAAUUCCAUUAAAUGUCUUGUUGACCUAUUUCAGUGGCGUAAGAUAGGACAGCUAUUUGAUUGUCUAACUCUAAAUUGGUAAAAUUUCUGUCCUUUUGUAAUAUUUCCGCAUUAUAACUCGGGCAAUGAAUAGUUGUUUUAGACUGUAUAGCAAAGCAGAAAACAGCCCAUUCAGAUGUACUUCAUCACCCAGAUUAACUUUAAAUGAAUGAAACUGAAUUUUGUAGUGUUUCUCUCCUUGGCAAUAUUUUUGUCUUUCCUGAAUGAUGUAAAUGUUGGAUUGUUAGUCUCAAAAUUUCUUUUCACUUUUGGCAUACCCUAUAUUUGAUUCUUUCUUCAUUUUUCCUAAAGAUGUCUACAAUUUGAUUUAUAUUUGCAGGUAUCAUGUUACUAAUUUUUUUGCACCAAGUAGUCGAUUUGGAACUCCAGAUGAUCUCAAGUCCUUGAUCGACAAAGCUCAUGAGCUGGGUCUACUUGUUCUCAUGGAUAUUGUCCACAGGUUGAAAAUUAAGAUUCUUGAAGCUGAAUCAUUUCCAUGCAUAUACACUAAUGAUAGCAUUGAAUCUCACCUUUGGCCUUCUGUUCUCUGCAUACAGUCAUGCAUCAAACAAUGUCCUAGAUGGCCUAAAUCAGUUUGAUGGAACAGAUACACAUUACUUCCAUGCGGGUUCACGCGGUUAUCAUUGGAUGUGGGAUUCUCGCCUUUUUAACUACGGUAGUUGGGAGGUAAUGAACAAAUUUACAUUUUCUUGGCUCGGUAUCUCAAUUCAUUUUGGUCAUUUUUUCUGUUGUGUAUCUGCUAAUCUAUUCCUUCCUUUGUAUAGGUAGUAAGAUUUUUACUUUCAAAUGCAAGAUGGUGGCUUGAGGAGUACAAGUUUGAUGGCUUCCGUUUCGAUGGUGUGACAUCAAUGAUGUAUACUCACCAUGGCUUACAAGUAAGGGAGAGCCUCUAAUGCUUGAUUCUUUUGAGCCCUUCUUGGUUUGGUGGUGAUAAUUACAGUAUGUCUAUAUAUGCUUUAUUAAGAGAACUAGCCACCAGUAGGAUUGUACUUCCCUAAGUAAAACUAUACAUGCUAUACAAUUACUAGGUUUUCUGAUCACACAAUAUAUAGUUUAAGCAUUCUGGUAGGCCAAAUGGAAUGGCCCUAUCAUGCUGCAAAAAGGAUUUAAUUACACAGAUUUGGCUGUUGGCAGUUGCCACCACCAAACAUGUACACAGUAACACAAGACAGAUGCCUGUGUUGGACGUUUAGAAUGAGCUAAUUUAUUCCCCUUAUCUGCUUUCUUCCAGGUGUCGUUCACUGGGAACUACAAUGAAUACUUUGGUUUUGCCACCGAUGUAGAUGCAGUUGUCUAUUUGAUGCUGGUGAAUGAUCUUAUUCAUGGACUUUUUCCUGAGGCUGUGAUUAUUGGUGAAGAUGUAAGUGCCCAAAAAAUUGGAGUGAUUAUUACACCUCUAUCUUUAUCAUGUAUCAAAUCUUUGCUAUUGCAUGAACUUGCCCUUGUAAUUGUUACAUUGUGCUACCAUUUUUACAGGUUAGUGGAAUGCCAACAUUUUGCCUUCCUGUUCAAGAUGGUGGUGUAGGUUUUGACUACCGCCUUCACAUGGCUGUACCUGACAAGUGGAUUGAACUUCUUCAGUAAGUACUUGAAAUAUCUAACCUUACUGGUUCAGAGCUUUGCUAUUGUUCACUUUUGUUGCCUUUGAUGGAGAAAUAUAUAAGAAUGGAAACGCACAUGCCUAUAAUAUCUAUUUAUUCUUUUUUUUAUUGAAAAGCUUAUCAUAGGGACUUAAAAGAUCAUCAUGGUGUUCCAUAGAAAAGAAAGAAUCAUAUUUAUUCUUACCAAAAUGCUUUCUCCCUGAAAUGGUUAGCUAUGAAAAAUUCUUUUGUACAGUCAGCGUGUUAAAAAUUUCUUUAUUCAGGAAGGCUUAUAAGUGAUAUUCAAAGCUCUUUCUCUUAAUGUUUGGCACAGAUUGAAGGACGAAGAUUGGAAGAUGGGCGACAUUGUCCACACACUUAUAAACAGGCGGUGGUCAGAGAAAUGUGUUGCUUAUGCUGAAAGUCAUGAUCAAGCUCUAGUUGGCGAUAAGACAAUUGCAUUCUGGCUUAUGGACAAGGUGUUUAAAUUUCUGUUUUAUAUUUUCAAAAAUUUAAUCUUCUACAGCAAUAUAUGAUGUGCAAAUUGCAGGUACCUAGACGGGGACUCUUGUUGCUUCUUUAUGAAAUGCUACAUAACUGACUGCUGACAACCUAUAGUUUCAUUUAGGACUUUAGAGUCACUUACUAUUCAGGUUAAUCAUAAUUGUUUGUUUUUAAGAAACUUCUCUUUCCUUCCUUCUAACUGCCUCUAAGAGGUUUGAGUAGCUUUCUUUUACUUUUUAUUUUUGAAAUCAUACUAUUAUGUUUCCUACUUCUUUCUUGAUGUAGUUCUUUUUCUUUGAAAUUUGGUGAUUAAAGCAGGUUGUCUCAUUUAUUAAAGCUUUUGUUACUCUUCCAGGACAUGUAUGAUUUCAUGGCUCUGGAUAGACCGUCAACUCCACGUAUUGAUCGUGGAAUUGCUUUACAUAAAAUGAUUAGACUAAUAACUAUGGGUUUGGGUGGAGAAGGAUAUCUGAAUUUUAUGGGAAAUGAGUUUGGGCAUCCAGGUUAGUAAAUUUAUUUUAUUCAUCGGAUAUGUGAACUGUAUAUCAAUCGUGUGAUUAUCUUCAAUAAGCAUCUUACAAAUUAAAGAAAUUUAUUGAUUUACUUAAUUCUCUGUCGUUGUUUUUCUGUCUGACAGAAUGGAUAGACUUUCCUAGAGGCGUACAGCAUCUUCCCAGUGGCAAAGUGAUACCGGGGAACAAUUAUAGUUUUGAUAAAUGCCGUCGUCGAUUUGAUCUUGUAAAGUUUGAAUUUGCAACUCCUUUUAAAAAAAACUUGAACUGCAACCUACUUUUCUCACUAUAAUAGCGACAAGUAACAUUAGAGCACAAAGAUGAAACACAGUAUUAUUGAAUGGAAUGUUAGUGUCAUCUGAUGUUCUCUACAACUUCAUAGCACCGGCCACGUUAGUAUCACCGGUUGUAAAAUCUUUGUGAAAAUCACUUGUCCAAGUUUACCCUAGUUUUUGUGCAACACACACACGCUGACCAAAAGAAAAAGAAACACCUUACUAUGAAAUCCUCAAAGAAAGUUAUAGAGGGCUAGAUUUUUAUGUUCCUUCGUAAGGUAUAAAAUUUGAACUAAAGGUUACUGUGUCUUCUUUUGACUAGGGUAGAAGAUGAUUAGUUGGGUUCGUUUUAGUUUUUCUUAGCUGUCUUUUUCUUUAACAAUUCUCCUUGUGAAAAUAAUUUUCUUGCUUAGUGGCUUUUUCAGUGGAUGGAAGUUUUACCUUUGAGCAUGUGCUUCUUAUCCAAACAAAAAGCAGUUAUAUCCCAUUUUUAAUUUUAAUUAACUAUGCAGGGUGAUGCAGAUUAUCUUAGAUAUCGUGGAAUGCAAGAAUUUGAUCGGGCAAUGCAACAUCUUGAGGAAAAAUAUGGAGUAUGUAUUGCUUUUUAUUGUACAUAUGUUACCUAUGGAUGCUAGAUCUUGAUCUUUUACUUACUAGGGAAUUUGUUCAUUUGCACUGCUGCAAUUUUUCUUUUUUCUUGAAUGAUCUGCUGCAAAUUUUAAGUGCUUUUUAAUGUUGCCCUAAGUUAUCUGGUCUGGAUAUGCAAUGUGGAUGCUAAGUGUUGAAAAGGACCAUGUAAUUGCAGUUCAUGACUUCGGAGCACCAGUAUAUAUCGCGGAAAGAUGAAGGCGAUAGGAUCAUUAUCUUUGAGCGGGGAGAUUUGGUCUUUGUUUUCAAUUUCCAUUGGAGCAAUAGUUAUUUUGACUACCGAGUUGGUUGCUUAAAGCCUGGAAAAUAUAAGGUAUGCAUUUUUCUCCAGUUUUUUUUUGCAAGUCAAGUUUGAUUUUCUAAUGAAUAGAAAGGUCUUGCAUCUGUAACUUUUGUAUUGCCUUAUCGCAGUAGCAAACUCAUAAUUAUAAUAUGAAAUUUACAUGUUUAACAUGAUUUAUGUCAAUAAUUUACUUGCAUGUUCCACCAGUGUUUAGUUUUCUUACAAUUUUCAUUUGAGUUGGGGAUAUAGAGUUUGAGUAGCGUUAACAUUUUCGUGGAAUAAGUCUGACUGUUUCUGUUAUUCUUUUAGGUAAAGAGUAAAACUGCAAAUAAUCUAGUAUUGGAUGUAUUACUAUUUAGUACUAACCAAAUCCCAUUAUUGAAGUACCGAUUGUUAGGAUUAGAGCAACGUUAACUCCUCCAUACUCACCCCAUUAACAUGAUCCUUUCCUGUUUGUACUACAAGGCUAAUCGAAUCUGGAAACGUGGUGCUAUGUUUUUACGUUAAACCUCUAUUCUCCGUAUGUUAGUAAACUUUCUACUCAAUGUUAGCAUAACUUAAUGCACUAUUUUCUUUUCUUAUUUAAGGUGGUUCUCGACUCUGAUGAUAAGUUAUUUGGUGGAUUCGGUCGCAUUGAUCACAAUGCUGAUUACUUCAGCAGUGUAAGGCUCUGAUAACAUAGCCGACCAUUCCUUUUUGUGCACUAUGAAUUUUACUUCAUACAAGCAAAAGAAAUAACUUAUGAUCUUUCGACGCUUCACAGGAAGGAACAUAUGACAACAGGCCUCGGUCAUUCUCGGUGUACGCUCCCAGUAGAACUGCUGUAGUGUAUGCUCUUUCAGAGGAUUGAAUUAAGAACACAAGGUAAUCAUAUGGUUUAUCUCAAAGUGCCUGUGGGUUCGACAGAGUUCACACCUUGGGUGAUCCAUUUGAGGUAUUUCUACAAUGUAAGGUACAGCACCAUCGAGUACUCGGCUCUUUCCGGCGAGACAUAAUCCGUGUACAGAUUAAAAUCUUUAAGCUCUAAUCGAAGGUACUGUAAUAAAAAUUAGCUCGUUCAGCAGCUGAUAGAUAUUUCCAAUGCUUUUCAGUUAUGAAGUUUUUCCCCCCUGUUCAUAUUUUUUGUUUUAGUUGUAGUAUUUUUUAUAUAACCUAUGCUGAACCAUUAUUAAAGAUCUGCGGUCACGGUAUUUCUCUCCACCGUAACAAAAUGCUAUACGUUAACAGGCACCAGAAGUUAACUAACCUAUAGCUGCUUAUUCUCAGAUUAUCAUUCCCAGCAUCAGAGUUUCGCAACAAUGAUCGAGUAUGAUAAUUUUAUUAUGCAUGAUCAUUCACGUGGCUUACUUAGAUGUGUGUACUUAAAAAGUGUCUGUUCUUUAUGAGGGAGUUGUUUUCAUAGAUUUGUUUUCAUAGCUGCCUAUGUUUAAUUCUGUUGUGGGAGCUAAUUCUGUACUGAAACACCGCAUCUUUCCUGAAAGAGAGGAGGAUUGGUUUCCAAGGCAAAUCAUGGUAUAAAUAAACAGUGAUAAAAUGUCUUUGACGGGUCUCUGCAGUUGCAGAAAAACGAAAAUCUAUAUACAUCUAAUUAGGGGGAAUUUUUAAACCCCGCGGUCAUGUUUGCAAUUUUCUCACAACUCCUAGCCUAAUAUUAUUAUAUGAGAUGGAAUUGGUUGCAUGUAUGAAAGAUAUCAUCACUGCGAAGCGCCUCUUCGGAUACCUCAUCUAAAUAAGAUGAAGAGGAAUAGAAUUUGAAAUUUAUCAAUGAUCCAGCCGUUGUAAAUUGCUCGUGGCUGGUAAUAAUGUUCCGCCUAAGUUUCUUCAUCAAAAUUACUCGCAACAAUAAUCACCACCACUAAUUAAUUAUUUGGGUGGCAAUGGUCGCUACGGCAGGUAACGAUACCCAUGCCCUUACACUUGGGUUUAGACAAAUAACGUUUCGCCGUUGGUGCGCGACUGUUGGGAUCUUGAGGAAUGGAACCUUCAGCUUCCGGUAGAUGGAAUAUUUGCUUUUCUCUUUUUUUUUUUUUUUUUUCUGAUAAACUUCAAAUACCACUUCUCUAAUUUUGCACUUUCUUACUUUAUUACUUUAUGAUUUAAAGUGCAUCAAUUUAGUAUCUUGUGAUUUCAUUUUUUUUCUUUUCGUCAACUCCAUUAAUAUUUCGUUAAAUCAUGUACAGAAAAUUUCAGAUACGUCAUUUAGGUUUAUCGGAUAUUCACUUUGGUACCCUUCAGUUCUAACUUUGUUAGUAAUUUAAUAAAAAAAAAUUUAAUAAAGAAAAUAAUAAUAAUAAUAAAAUCAUAAAGUACCAAAUUGAUGUACUUUAAAUUACAUAAUAAUAAAAUGAGAAAGUGCCAUUAUUUGAAGUUUAGUUAUUCUAUUUAAAUUUAGAAGCGUCCUUGUCAUUUCUUCAAUAUUAUCUUGAUGUAGUAGUAUUUAAUAAAGAGCGCAAGGUCACAUGUCCAUCCUAUAACUGGGAUGUAAAUGCUACACCAUAGCUUUCUUAUGGUUCUGCCUAGCUCACUCAUCCUGCCAUUUUUCCUUUUUUUUUUCUUUUUUUUUUUCCUUUUUAACUAAAAUUCUGAAGGAGUUUAUUUAAUCUUGGAUUAAGGGGGUAUGAUAUAUACUCUCUAUAAAGAGUGAAGAGGUAGCAUUUUUUUAAAAAAUAAAAUAGAAGACAAAUUUGUUAUUUAUUCUAUCGGAUAUUUUGUUAGAAAUAAUAGAGUCAAAUAAGAUUUUUUCCAGCAUUCAAGUCACCGACAUUACUUCUAACCCAAAUAGUGAUGUUAUCAAUUGGGCUAAUUGUGAUAUUAAUACACAAAUUCAUUGAAUUUGAUUUUUAUUUAUUAAUUAAUAAAUUUGGUCUGCAUCUACAAAAAAAAAAGAAGAGAAUCUAUUAAUAUAACCUUCGAAUCUAAAGAAAAUGAAUCUAUUAAUUGAUAUCAAUCACAUUCCUAAUCAUCAGUUCUGAUUCCAAAUUCAGAACUCACACAAACAUCUAAAAUCACCGAGUCUCUCCAUUCUUAAAAAAAAAAAGAAAAAGAAAAAACAAAUACAAAACAAAUACCUGCAAAAUUAGGAUAAUCUAAUAUACUGUUCAUCACCACUAGAAGAAGAGACAAAUCUAAACAGUAAUUAAAAAAAAAAAAGUAUCCCGAACUGUGCGUAAUAUCUUUAUCUUCAGUUCCCCCACUUGUAAGCAUGACUCCGCCCACUAUGAAAGCGGUUCGAAUCUUAAUAAAACUCUUCAUCUUCGUCUCCUCCUGCGACCCCCACCCACACAGAAUUUCCUGAAAAGGAAAAUCAAUCCAUCCAUCUCGGAAUCACUUUAACCCCUUUACUUGCCUUGCCAGCGAGAAAAUAUAGAAACAAAAUUUAAAAGGUUUUUAAAAAAGGAUUAAUCAAAGGUGAUAAGAAAAGGAGCGCAUUAAUAAAAGAUCACCUUAAAAUACUCAUUACAUCACAGAAAAAAAAUAAAACGUCGGUGAGAAUUCAGAAGCUAAGUCUCUCUUUAUUGACAAAGUGUAUAGAGUCAAAAUAAAUUAAUUAUAUUAUUUUUUAUUAAAAACAUAUAAUAAUUUUUUUUUUAUUAAUUCUGAUAAAAUGACGGAACAAUUUUAUUAACAAAAAAUAUCACAUCAGCAAUAUAAAUAUUGAAUUCUAUAUUUUUUUCCCCCUCCAUCACCCAUUCAUCCCAACCCCCACCCCCAUGCGCUCUCUCUCUCUCUCUCUCUCUCUCUCUCUCUCUCUCUCUCCACUGUUGGGGAAUUGGGAUCGGGACCUUCCGGUUUUGAAUCAAAUGGCGCUGUGAAUGCCCCCCUUAAUUCUCGCCCAUUCCGAUCGUCUAUAGCGCUAAAUUAGGGUUUCGUUUCUUCAGCAAGGAACCGGAGGCCAUGGGCGACUUCGGAGGUGAGCUUCGGAGGGUUUUGUUGCUCCUUUUUGGGUUGCUUUGACGAGGAGGAGGAGGAGGAGGAGGAGGAGUGAGGCGACGACGACGAAAGGGGAGAGGACGACGAUG
Molecule: long non-coding RNA, 55623 nt
Filed under: Ananas comosus (pineapple)
Lineage: Eukaryota; Viridiplantae; Streptophyta; Magnoliopsida; Poales; Bromeliaceae
Description: long non-coding RNA (ACOM_LNC031039)
Source: RNAcentral